CAAGUUGGGGUGUGCGUCGUCUGUGUGCAACAACAUCAACGCUGGUAAGCACCUUUUGCUCAGACGGAGAAAACAAUAAUCAUUAAUUAGCGGCAGCUAGAAUCCUAUAAUCUAAUAUAUUUAUAUAUAUAUAUAAUUUUAUCAGCUCUGGGAAAUGAAGAGGCGAACGAUGCCGUUGAGAGUUGCGACCAAGCCUGCUCUAGCUUCUGCAGCGUGCAUGUUGGCAGCGCCACCGUGGUUGCUUAAGCAAAUGCAUGCAACUAGAUCGUCCUUGUGCUGAAUAAUUGGAUAUCGUAUCCACUUAAAGCUGCCUUGUGUAGUACGUCUUUGUUUGUGUCUCUCUUUAUAUUCCACUAAGGUCGGUGAUCUUGAUGCCACACACACUCAGAUGUGUGUUCAUCUCCAGAUACUACUCCAUGCUACCUGCCCUUUUUGUUUUGUUCAAUAACUGGGUAUCAUAUCCCGGCCAGUGUGCCAUCUAUUUUGUGUUUGUUUCCUUCUAGUUCCAAAGGGGUCAUCAUGAUGUUACCUUCUUUCGAUAUGGUGCUUUGCAUGACAACUGUUGUAUGGUACCAUCUUGUUGGCCAAUAAAUACAUCUUAUCCUAUGACCCUUUGCUAUGACCCUUUGCAAAUAAGUACAAGAUUGUUAUAAGCGUCAAUACUCAGUAUAAUUGAUCGCUGCUGUGAGUUCCCUUUCAGCUUAUCGUAGGCACACAUUAUUGCUAGCACGGUAAAGACAACCAACACGAAUGAUGAAGUAAACGUAGCGGUACUUUUGUAUACCAACACCCUUACUUAAAUGUACUGGUGUCAUUCCCUACUGGCACAUAUAUUCUUAUAUGCUAGCCAGAUUGGAAAAUUAACCAAUUAAAAUAAUUAUUUCAAGAUAGAAAUAACUUAUCGGCUUCUCGAAGCAUGUGUAAUUUUAAUUCAAGGACUCAAUGGAAGUUGAAUCACUUCAUCUAGAUUGCCUUCUGGAUUUUGGUUAACUAAAUUUAACAUUUGUGUCGGGGGGAAAUAUUAACGAUUUUCUUACGCUCUCUAAUUAACGGAUACAAGGGCUAGGGCCCACCCCUAAUACCCAUAAUCUCCGCUAACAACACAUCCCAGAGGCACUCCGCUCCGCCUCGCCCGACUUCAGGGUCGCAGGGUCGGACGUGCCCGACCCCCCAAGGCCUCGCCUCGUCUCAGCCGAUGGAGUUCCGCCUCGCCCGACCCUGAGCCCAACGGAUCGGACGCGCCCGACCCCUCGAAGCAGGACUCCGCCUCGCCCGACCCUGAGCGCAAGCGGUCGGACGUGUCCGGUCCCACCUGACAGAGCUCCGCCUACCCGAAGGUACGAGCAGGUCAUCAGACGGAAGCGCGGGCUCUGUGAGUCCCCCUGGGCUCACCCAACCGAUGGGACCGCGCAAGCUUCCAGAUACAGUUCUGACACAUGGAGAGGCGCCCGCGUUCCUCGACAUGACCUGUCAAAAUGUUGGUCUGCGCACUGCUGCCACGACUGCACAGGGCUACACCUGCACCGUCCUACCCCACUGUGACAUCUGUCAUAGGGCACUCAUCGCUCAUACCAUCUAAUGGAGGAGGGAAAACCGCCUAGUUUUCCACGUGGGCUAGCAAGAAGAGCACGUCAGCCACGCCGCCCCGUCAGGGUGCAUGGCUACAGUGGUUGACCAUCACCCGCGACGUGCACAGUCACAGUGGCCAGUCGUCACCACCAACUUGCACAGCUACAGUGGUCGGCCGCCAUGCACGACUCGCGUGUCCGGCUACAGUGACCGACCGCCGAGUCACCGAUGGGACCCAACGGCAACCCCUAUCCCUUAGUAGCAGUACCGACAAGACGCAGAGACAAGAAGGGAAGACGACGUCUCUAGUAGCCCCACUUGCUUCCCUUUUUACCUUUCUACCUGUUUACCUUCCUUACUCCCGGCUCAUUUGUAACCUCUGUAUCCUCCUUGCACUAUAAAAGGAGACCAGGGGGUCUGAGGGCAAGGGACCCUCGGAGACCGAACCCCGAAUUCACCCAAGUACAAACCAACCGAACCACCAGACGAGAAAGACUCACAGAGAUCUGGGAACCAGCUUCCCUCUCUCACCUAUUUGUAGCCUCUACUCCAGACUUGGUACGAGUAACACGAGCAGCCACCCGCACUGGACUCCUCCGCCAGAAACUGGUCCAACCAGUCGGGUCCCUCCCCCUGCUCUUCGUCCUCAUCAUCCUCAUCAUCGUCGUCCUCAUCCGUUGCCGUGUCUGGCCCCUCCGCAGCCUUCAGAACUCCGCUGCAGCUUUCUUUUUCUUCCUCACCGUCUCCUUGUCCUUCCUCUUCUUCUGUGCUUCGUCGAGGAGGCGGUUCCGCUGCCUCUGCACCACGUCCUCUGGCACCGGUGGACGGGAGGCUGUGACAUGGUUUAAGUUACCCUGCAGAUUCGAAGACUCCGCGUCAGAAUAGCAAACCAGGAAAUGCAGGAAAGAAGAACGAGAGUGCAAAUUUCUAACCAGCAGGACAUAGGCCUCGUCCGGGCGCAUCGGAGGGUGCCCCGGCACCGGGAACACGACAUCCCUGUCACCCAAUGCAUCCCGGACACGCUGCUCGAUCUCGGCGUCGGCAAUUGCACCCGUCGCAAGGACGGUGCUGUGGUACGCCCCAACAACUCCGGCCCCGGUCAGGCCCUCCUCCUUCAGAAGGUUGAUGGCUUCGAGGAGACCCCGGAUAUUCUUCUUCUCCUUCUCAACAGGGCCAUAUGUCCACGUUCCCGGUGCCUCCACGAUGACGCGGCCAGUGAACUCCGUCAAGAGGACAUCGGGGCGGUUCUUCACAUAGAGCCACUGCUGAUGCCACCCUUUGUGGGAUGACGGGGUCUUCAUCGAUGUAUACUCCUUGGGCCGAUGGCCACAGAGGUGGAUGCCGGCACACCCCAUCAGCAUCGGAAUCGUCCGCGUCUGGUUUCCUCUCUUCUCGGUCCUCUGAUGAAGAGUGACAGCGAAGAAGUACUUCCACAGGGCGAAGUUGGGCUCGAUCCCCAGGUAUCCCUCCCAAAGCACGACGAACGCCGCGAUGUGCUGGAUUCCGUUGGGGUUGAGGUGCUCCAGCUCAAUGCUAUAGUAGUGCAGCAGCCCCCGGAAGAAGCGACUUGGGGGAACCGCGAACCCCCUCUCGUGGAAGUGCGCGAAGGAGACGAUGUACCCGUCCUCCGGCUGUAGCACGGCCUUGUUCCCGGGAUACCGCCACUCGUUCUCGGCGAUCCUAUCGCGAAGAAGGCCCUUCUUCACGAGACCGAUCACGCGCGCGGUGUUGAAGAUUGACCAAGACCUUGAAUCCAUCGCCGAGGAAGGGGAAGGCUCGACGGCGGUGGUGGAAAGGUGAAUGCUCUGGCUCGAAAGAGGAUGAAAAGUGAACAAGGAGGCGAGAAAGGCUGAAGACGAGUGCGGAGCGGAGCAAGCAAGGUAAGCUCUCUCGUUUUACAGGGGGCGUGCGAGAAACGAAAGGCGAACCGAACGCAUUUAUUGCGACGUCAGGUAUGCCCCAUCGCCUCCGCCUUUCUUCGGAAACCGUACGCAUGAUUUCUUUUUAACCGCAGGGAACGCUACGCCCCCUCGCCCCACGAGCCCGGUGUUUUUUGCCGCUUCGUCUCCUGGAGGUCAUGCGCACAACUUCCUCCACAAGCGGCCCAGGGCCCGCUUCAGGUAAAAAAGGGAUACAGAGCUGAAAACACUCUAACGGCCCAUUACGGUCCAGGGGUUCGAAGGCUGGCCCUCUAGAGGGUUCGACAUCCACCCCAGGACAUUUCUUGAGCAAGGGGUGAGAAGGGACGGGUCCGCUAGCGACCACUACCCUGGUGAACAAAAGCCAAGGGCGUCCCGACCUCACAUUUGAGUCUCGAUUGGCGUUUAAGUUCAUGGUUUUUCCCCGAAGAAAGGCAAAGUGCCCCCGGAUCCGGUUGAACAGACCUGGGAACUAUAUGAACUGGCCGUCCGAAAUCUGGAGUACGCCACCAGCUUGGCCCAAGCCGGACCCGCCCGAACAGGGACCGGGACUCCACUCGAACUGACCCGUUAGCAGCUCACCGAGCACCAUGGUUCGUCCGAUGAGGAUAACAUGGCACGGCUCACCCCCUCCGUCCCAACGAACGGACGCUGAGGGGUAACGACUAAAAGACGAUCCGACCUCUCGAUCGGUCCCCUGCAAUGCGCGGGGGCUCGAGGGCUGGAAUCACAACGAAACGACCAUGCGCAUGGUUACGACUCGGAAUUUUGAGGCAGGAAUGGUCAUUGAAACAAUAGGGAAUCUUCCCAAACCGUACCAUCCUCAGAACACUCUGGCUACCCAAAACUCCCCGGCCAGGCCAAACAAGCAAAACUUUUCUCCUGAUCAAAUCAAGGUACAUGUUAAACAAGACCCCUGACAAACACUCUGCCGAGAGCCAAUCACAGCCUCUGGAGGAGCACCUUGCUCCACCAAAGGCUCGGGGCCUACUGUCAGGGGGAAAUAUUAACAAUUUUCUUACGCUCCCUAAUUAAUGGACACAAGGGCCAAGGCCCACCCCUGACACCCGUAAUCUCCACCAACAACACAUCCCAGAGGCACUCCGCUCCGCCUCGCCCGACUACAGGGUCACAGGGUCGGACACGCCCGACCCCCCGAGGUCUCGCCUCAUCUCAGCUGAUGGAGUUCCGCCUCACCCGACCCCAGGCGUAAGGGGUUGGACGCGCCCAACCCCUCAAAGCAGGACUCCGCCUCGCCCGACCCCGAGCGCAAGGGGUUGGACACAUCGGAUCCCACUAGACAGAGCUCCGCCUCGCCCGAAGGUAUGAGUAGGUCAUCAGACGGAAGCGCGGGCUUUAUGAGUCCCCCCAGGCUCACCUAACCGAUGGGACGCGCACAAUUCUAGAUACAGUUCUGACACGUGGAGAGGUGCCCGCGUUCCUCGACAUGACCUGUCGGAAUGUUGGUCUGCACACUACUGCCACGACUGCACAGGGCUACAACUGCACCGUCCUACCCCACUGUGACAUCUAUCAUAGGGCACUUAUCGCCCAUGCCGUCUAACGGAGGAGGGCAAACCGCUUGGUUUUCCGCGCAGCCUAGCAACUACAGCACGUCAGCCACGCUGCCCCGUCAGGAUGCAUGGCUACAGUGGUUGACCGUCGUCCGCGACGUGCACAGCUACAAUGGCCAGUCGUCACCACCAACUUGCACAGCUACAGUGGUCGGCCGCCAUGCACGACCCGCGUGUCCGGCUACAGUGGCCGACUGCCGAGUCACCAAUGGGAUCCAACGGCAACCCCCAUCCCUCAGUAGCAGUACCGACAAGACGCAAAGACAAUAAGGGAAGACGGUGUCUCCAGUAGCCCUACUUGCUUCGCUUUUUACCUUUCUACCUUUUUACCUUCCUUACUCCUGGCUCAUUUGUAACCCCUGUGUCCUCCUUGCACUAUAAAAGGAGACCAGGGGGCCCGAGGGCAGGGGACCCCCGGAGACCGAACCCCGAAUUCACCCAAGUACGAACCAACCGGACCACCAGACGAGAAACACUCACAAAGAUCUGGGAACCAGCUUCCCUCUCUUGCCUGUUUGUAGCCCCUACUAUAGACUUGGUACGAGUAACACGAGCAGCCACCCGCACUGGACGUAGGGCUAUUCCUGCCCGAACCAGUAUAAACCUCGCGCCCUCUCGUACAACCAUCCAAGCCUUACGCGUAGAGAAACAAAUUUACUAAGCCGGUAGUCUUGACCCGUGAUUCGUGAGACCGACAAUUUGCACAUACAAAUGUUAAAGUACAAAUGUUAAAUCUAGUUACCAAGCAGAAUACGAAAUAGCGGGCUAUAGUGAGGCUAUAGCGGCGCUAACUGCUGCAACAACAGUGUUGUACUAAUUAGCAGGCUAUAGCGGAGCUAUAGCGGUUGAGCACAGCUCUACGCUAAAUAUCAUAGCCCUCAAUUUUGUACAUUGUAUAUACUAUAUAAAUCUAGUUAACAUUUAGUCUAAAUGUUAAAUCGAGUUACCUAAAAUCCUGAAAGCAAAAUGUAUAAAUAUAUAUCUUUUAGGGUAGUAUAAGCUUCGAUUCCUUUUGCUGCUCUGUUAAAUCUCAUCUUUCGUUGUAGCCCAACACUCUAGUAUUGAUUUUGCACCAAGCUUCUUUGAGCCGCUCUGCCCUCUGAUUUUGCUGCGUAGGGGAAUCUUUAUCAGGUUGGGCUACUUCCAGUCGUGCGAUGUAUACCUUUGUAUCUUCUAGAAGGUAGACAGAAAACCCGCGUUCUCUUAAGGCAACAACCAGAAGAUUCUGCAGCGCACGGGGCAUAUCAUUGUUGUAGAAACGACCUUUAGUAUCGAUCUCCAACCCCUUAUAGUACUGGUUUUGCAACCAGUACCGUUAUGUCGGACCUUUAGUACCAGAUCAAAUAACCGGUUCUAAAGGGACUCCUUUAGUACCGGUUGGUAACCAGUAUCAACUUGUUUUGCGGCCAAAAAAAUAAAGAAAAAAAUAGCCAGAAGGCUAGCACACACACACAUCCCACGAAAUAUGCGCGUGCGCGGUCCAUGGGAUUCGAACCCAUGAAAUCAAGCUGCGCGCAACCCUUCGUUACCAUCUCACCUUCAGUACCGGGUCAUAACACCACCCGGUACUAGUAUCGGAUGCUGUAAUGACUCGAUACUAAAAGGCCUCUAGGGACCCUCAAAUUUGGACCCGAUACUAAUGCUAACAUUAGUACCGGGUCAAAGUGCAGCCAGUACUAAAGCAUGGGACGAAAGGUCAUAUUUCUAGUAGUGUAUAGUUGUUGUGUAGGACUGACUUGGCUGUCCUCUCUCUUCUCCAUCCCAUUGGUCUUACGCCGCCGCUCGCACGCGAGCCGGCACCCAACCAGAGGAGUGAGAGCUAGGGGCGGGUUGGGAGGUGGGGGUAGCGACUGGUGGCUAGGGUGAUGGUUGAUGUUGGCGGGGUUAGGGUUUCAUGGUUUUCAAGCUACCUACGGCCGGCGAACCUAGAGGAGGAGGUCGACAUCAGCUGCAACCCGCGGUGGUGGUGGUUUGGCCGGCGCCCCAGGCGAGGCAGCGUGGGAGUGCUGCUGGCGGGUUGGUGUUGGCGCUCAUUAUUGACACAUUUUUAGUACUAUUUUGUUCAUGGAAUAACACUCAAACGUGCUGGUGCUGCUGCCGCCAUCGCCGCCCUAGCCAUAAUAUAAAGGCAAAAUUUGCUAGAGGACAUGCAAAAUGAUGCUAGUUUGCUGGAGGGCACCGUUGACCAUGUAAUAUGCUACAAGACACUCUAGUUGUUCUAGAGUGUAUCAAUUUGCUGAAAGACAUUGCUACGACUAAAAUAAUGUUUCUGGACUGAGUUGGAGAGAGAGAUGGAGUGAAAUGUCUGUUUUGCCCAUGACCCCACUGAUCAGAUCCUUCUUCUUCCACCCUCCUUUCUUCUUUCUUCAACCAUUACCCAGCUCUAGUGUGUUGCAGAUCUACGAGGGUGGCGGCCCGGGGCGAGGGGCAUCGCUUGCCCUCAGACGAGCGCCGCGAGCGACGGCGCGGGGGCAGCAACGGCGCGUCGGAACCUGACCGUUCGUUAGCUCCUCUCGCUGCUGGGGAAGGAGGGGGAGGGGCCAUGGACGGGGUUCCCUCGAAAACCUUAGCCUCGAGCUCAGGCGGCUACGCGCAGGCAGCACUAGGCUCUUCGCGGGGAGGGGGCGCGGCCAAUCAUUGGCACCCCACUGGUCCAAUGCUGAUGAAGAUGGUGCCAGCGUCGUGAAGAUGGUGCCAGCGUCGUGUGAGGACCUCUCAUCUCCUCGAGUUCCAUGGCCAGCACAGGUGAGCGUCCGCUACCACAAAACAGAGGUGUCGUGAGAGUCAAAAAAACUCAUGAAAAUAGCUAAAACCAUCAUGAAAAUAAUCCAUGACACGACACUCUAACGAAAAUCCUCUCACAAAUAUGGUGCCAUCAAAAUACCAUUUUCAUGAGAGUGAACUGUCAUGAUUUUAUUUCGUGAGAGUAUUUCCUAUCAAUGACCUCCACGAAAUACUUUGUGCCACCAGGUCUUCAAGAUCAUUUUCAUGAGAGCCGAACGUCACGAAAGGUCCGCCACAAAUGUUUUUCCUGGGAGCCUCUAACUCUCAUCAAAAGCAUGUGGGCCGCCGCGAAAAACAGCCUGACCAAAUGACAAUUUUCAUUUUCAUGUGCUCUUACCGCCAUGAAAAUGGUCAUUUUCAUGAGAGUUGAUGAAACAAAAAAAUAGUGCCAUUUUCAUGAGAGUUCAAGCAACCAGGAAAAGGCACUAAUAAACAUCCAGAUCCCAUCCAGCACACAUCCAUGCACAUAUAUAACCCACAUAUUGCUCCAGCAACAUCCAUGCAUAUACAAGAUCCAAAUGUCUUGGUAUGAACCUACAUGCAUGUGAUGAACCAGUAACCUGCAAAAAGAGCUCAUAGGAUCUUGUCCUCAUAUUGUAGCUGUGAAAUUCUUGCAAGUAGUGUUGCAAUCAGUUCACUUUGAACCAAAAGAGCUCAAAGGAUCAUGUCCUCAAAGUUCCUCUUAAAGCUUAUGGGUUUGCUGGUGGAACUGGAAGGGCUUGAUGCAGCAUGCCAUUCUGCAAUAGAGAAAAAUUUAGAAAGCUGUACUAGUUAAAAUUGGAUGCAGCAGAGACACAUGAAACUAGUAUUUAUACAAUUCUAUAUAUAUAAUAAUUUGUCCCCUAAAUUUUUAGGAUCCUCUCGACGGUGGUGAGUCUUCCAGUAAGGCAAUUGAAUGUCCAUCGUGAUAAAAUUCUCCUUUGGAUUUAUCAUCUUCUCAACCAGAAAUCCUAGGAGUUCAUCCUUAAGCCUUACCAGUUGUAAUUUGGAAAUAUGUGAAAGUUAAACGAACAAUUAAAAUCUAAGGAUCCUUAUCAUCAUUUCCAUACGUUUGCGAAUUAAAAUAAUGAAGGAUACAAUGUUAGGUGAAAAUUCAAGAAACAAAAUUUUGUAUAGAGAUAAUGGUCCGACAUUAUUACAAGUUAAAGUUGUUUUAAAUAUCCUUGUAAUCUUCCUUUGGUUUCCUCGACGAUUCCAAGACAGUAACCUUGCUUCUAUCAAUGAUAAUUAUAAGGAGAACCCAAUGAAAACUGUGUAUUCAUAUUAGAACUAACUAAGGUUAAUUCGGAUAGGAAAGGAAAUCAAAAAUAGAUGGUACCCACACUUACUUAAAGUUGUAGGGUAGUAGUAUGUAAUGCUUGUAAUUCUGUUGCUCCAAGAAUUUGUAUAUGUGGUUCAAUGUAGACUUUGGUUGAUCCUGUAUCUGCUGUUGGUUGAAUAAGUGUUUCUAACCAUUUCUAGCCGUUAGAACUGGGACUAAAGGGAGCUCUUAGUGCUGGUUGAUAUUACUAGUCGGGACUAAAGAGCCCCCGUUAGAGUUGGUUUUCGGACGUGGAACUAACCACUCCUUUAGUCUCAAGUCCAAAAAUGAUUGAGACAUUUGUUGCUGGAUGGAACACUAGUAGAGAAUUGGCUUUCGAUGCGCCCCCUUUUGUCCCGGUUUAAAGUUGGACUGGGACAAAAGAGGGUGCGCCACGGUAGGUAAAAAUGGAGGGGGGAGUUAGUCCCGGUUGGUAAUUGCAACCGGGACUAGAGGCCCCCCUUUAGUCCCGGUUGCAAUGGCUAGCUGGGGGGCGUCGGUGGCGGCACCUUUUUGUCCCGGUUGGAGUCUCCAACCGGGAUAAAAGGUCCACCCUUUUAUCCCGGUUGGAGGCUCCAACCGGGACAAAAAGUUUAGUCCCGGUUGGAGCUUCCAACCGGGAUAAAAGGGUGUCCCUUUUGUCCUAGUUGGAGCCUCCAACCGGGACUAAACUUUCAACCGGGACAAAAGGUGUGGUUGGAGUUUUUAACUGGGAUAAAAACUCAUCCCCCAUUAUAUACCAAGACAGAGGACUUUCUUCCUCCUCCAGCCCGAGCCAGUCCAGCACAUUCACAGAGAGUUGACCUUCACCUACUCUCCGGUGGUGCCGAAGCAAGGAGGUGCUGCCCGAAGUUUUUUCCCUCAUUUUCGUGGGAAUUUCACUCAGCUAACACAAGUGUUGUGAAGGUUUGCUACUUCAUCCUCGUUUAUGCUUUGAUUUAUGCUUUGGAGAUGGAAAGAUUAUUUGUUAGAAUGUGAUGAAGUAGAAAAUGGAGAGAAUAUUUUGAGCUAGAAUGUGAGGGAGAUUGAUGUGUCAUAUAUAGUAUGCAUUCUUGCAGUGGUUUAAGAAUGAUGCUACCUUGUCCAGACAAUUUAUCUUAUCAAAUUCAAUAUAGUUUUUCAAAUCCAUACUUGUUGAACUUGCAUACCGUGUUCAUCUCUACGAGGAUAUUCUCUGCCGAGCAGCAACGUAUGUCAAGAAGGAGGUUCGAUUCUACGAGGAAGAGUGGAUACGGACAUCGUGACCGUGUCCCCUUUUCCGUAGCAUCUAACCUCUUUCAUGAUGAAGUGCGGUGCCGCCCAGUUGAGAACAUGCUCGCGAGAUGAACACAGUAUGCAAGUUCAACAACUUCUGCAGUAGUAAGGAAAGAAUUUUUGUACAUAGAUGACUUCUGCUACUUGUUGAACUUAUCAAAUUCAAGAAGGUUUUUCAAAUCCAUACUUGUUGAACUUGCAUACCGUGGUCAUCUCGCAGAGGAUGUUCUCCGCCGAGCAGCAACGUAUGUCAAGAAGGAGGUUCGAUUCUACGAGGAAGAGUGGAUACAGACAUCGUGACCGUGUCCCCUUUUCCGUAGAAUCGAACCUCUUUCAUGACGAAGUGCGGUGCCGCCCAGUUGAGGACAUGCUCGCGAGAUGAUCACGGUCUUUAAGUUUAACAACUUAUGCAGUGUUAAGGUAAUAAUUUUUGUACAUAGAUGGCUUCUGCUACUGGAGAAAGUGGCGAUGGUGGGGGUGAUCGUGGUUCCUCUUUCGGCAAGGGGAAAAUCAUAGUUGGCCCUCAGCAUAAGCCAAAGAAAAAGAGCGCACUGGAAAAAGCAAUGCUUCGUUAUUUGCAGCAACGUCAUGAAGAAGUUGUUGCCGCGGGUCAGGAACCUCCUUUUGGUCGUCGUUAUGCUCCACCCUUAGUCCCGGGUGUUUCACAUCCACUUAGUACUACCGUUUCAGGCGGCACAAAUAAACCUAAGGAUGAGGCUAGGUCAGCGGAACUUUCGUCUUCACUGUCCAAGGAUGCUUAAAGUCCUCCUAGAUAAUAACCAGUGGAUGGCUUGUUGUAUUGUAUCAUGUUGUUUGGAUCUUUAAUUUAAAUAUGUGUAUUUGGAUCUUCAUGUUGUUGUAUUGUACCAUGUUGUUUGGAUCUUUAAUCAAUUUUCACACGUAAUCCAUUGUCAAGUGUAAUCCAUUUUCAUGCAUAAUAAGAUGCAGAUGGACCGGCAAUGGAUGUAUAAUGCAGACAGGCAGAGCAAGGUGUUUAUUGAUGGCUUGCAUUAUUGUCUCGAAGUGGCCAAAGCGAACAAGCCAGAGAAUGGGUUCGUAUGUUGUCCAUGCUUCCAAUGCAAUAACAAGAAGGAGUAUUCAUAGGAUUCCUGGGGGACUAUUCACAGCCACUUGUUUAAAUACGGUUUCAUACUUAACUAUUUGGUUUGGACCAAGCACGGUGAACGAGGGGUCGUAAUGGAAGAUGGCGAGAAGGAGGAGGAAGAUGACACCAUUCCAGACUGGGUUGUAGGCCAAGCUUUUGCAGGUACUACAAUGGGCGAGGCUCAUGAAGAUGAGUUUGCAGAAAAUGGCCCUAUUGAUGACUUUGGUCAGGUGAUACGAGAUGCAUACAGAGAUUGCGAAAUUGAGAAGGAAGCAGCAAAGUUGCAGCGCAUGAUAGAUGAUCACCAAAAAUUAUUGUACCCAGGUUGCCAGCUGGGCCAUAAAAAACUAGGUACGACACUAGAAUUUGUGCAAUGGAAGGCAAAAAAUGGUGUGUCCGAUAAGGCAUUUCAGGGGAUGUUGACCAUUGUCAAGAAGAUUCUUCCCGAGAAUAAUGAAUUACCGUCCACAACAUAUGAAGCUAAACAGAUUAUUUGCCCUCUCGGAUUGGAUGUUCAGAAGAUACACGCAUGCCCUAAUGACUGUAUCCUCUAUCGUGGUGAUGACUACGAGAAAUUGGAUGCUUGUCCCGUGUGCGAAGCCCUGCGGUAUAAGAUUAGGUGAGAUGAUCCUUGUGAUGUCGAGGGGCAGUCUCCCAAUAAGAGAGUUCCCGUGAAGGUGAUGUGGUAUUUCCCUAUAAUACCACGCUUGAAGCGCUUGUUCAGGAAAAAGGCGAAUGCUAAGUUGAUGUGAUGGCACAAAGAAGACCGUAAGGAAGAUGAGAUGCUGAGACACCCCGCAGAUGGGGCACAGUGGAGAUCAAUUGAUAGAGCAUUCUCGGACUUUGAAAGUGAAGCAAGGACAUAAGGUUUGGUUUAAGUACUGAUGGAUUCAAUCCAUUCGGUGAGUUGAGUAGUGGCCAUAGUACUUGGCCUAUGACCCUAUUUAUGUUGAACCUUCCUCCUUGGCUAUGCAUGAAGUGGAAGUUCAUUAUGAUGCCGGCGCUUAUCCAAAGUUCAAAACAACCCGACAACGACAUUGACGUGUACCUAAGACUGUUGGUUGAUGACCUUUUACAGCUCUGGAAGGAAGAAGGUGUACGUGUGUGGGAUGAGGAUAGACAAGAGAUCUUUAAUCUACGAGUAUUGUUGUUUGUAACCAUCAAUGAUUGGCCUGCACUGAGUAACCUUUCGGGACAGACAAAUAAGGGAUAUCGGGCAUGCACCCACUGUUUAGACGACACAGACAGCAUGUAUUUGAAGCAUUGUAAGAAGGUCGUCUACAUGGGUCAUCGUCGAUUUCUCCCUGCUCACCACCAGCUGAGAAAGAGCAGGAUGCAUUUCAAAGGGGCGCCAGACCAUCGUAAAAAACCUGCACACCAUAAUGGAAAGUGUGUCUUCAAGAUGAUGAAGGAUGUAAAUGUAGUCUUUGGAAAGGGUCUUGGUAGCCAACCUAUUCCAAACGACAAUAACGGACAUGCACCCAUGUGGAAGAAAAAGUCAAUAUUUUGGGAGCUACCUUAUUGGGAAAUCCUAGAGGUUCGCAAUGCAAUAGACGUGAUGCACCUGACGAAGAAUAUUUGCAUGAACGUGCUAGGCUUCAUGGGUUUUUAUGGGACCUCAAAAGACACAUUGGAAGCACGACAGGACCUGAAAGCCAUGGGGCAACGAGAUGACCUACAUCCGAAAAAGAGAGAUAAUGGAUAGCACUACUUACGUCCUGCCAGUUACACUCUGAGCAAGGAAGAGAAGGAUAGCAUGUUUGAAUGCUUGAAUAGUAUGAAGGUCCCGUCUAGGUACUCCUCGAAUAUAAAGGGAAUAAUAAAUAUGAAAAAAAAGAAGUUUAUAAAUCUCAAGGCCCAUGACUGUCACAUGUUGAUGACCCAGUUGCUUCCGGUUGCACUGAGGGGUGUUCUACUAGAAAAUAUCCAGUUGCCGCUCGUAAAGCUAUGUGCGUUUCUAAAUGCGAUUUCACAGAAGGCAAUCGAUCCAUCCAAGCUAUCAAAGCUACAGAACGAUGUGGUGCAAUGUCUUGUCAGUUUUGAGUUGUUAUUUCCACCAUCCUUCUUCAAUAUUAUGACGCACUUACUGGUUGACCUAGUAAAAGAGAUUGGUAUUCUCGGACUUGUAUACCUGCACAAUAUGUGGCCUUUCAAGUGUUCAUGGCAGUCCUAAAAAACUAUGCUCUUAAUCGUGCCCAUCCAGAAGGAAGCAUCGCCAAGGGAUAUGGAACAGAGGAGGUGAUCGAGUUUUGUGUUGAUUUUAUUGAUUCAAUUGACUCGAUUGGGGUUCCAACUUCACGCCAUGAGGGGAGGCUCCGAGGAAUGGGCACCCUUGGAAGGAAAUCAAGUUUGAGCAAUGAUACUGAUUUGUUCGACAAGGCACACUACACGGUUCUACAACAGUCAUCCUUUGUGUCUCCAUAUAUUGAGCAGCACAGGCAGAUGGUAGUUUCCAAAAACCCGACCAAAUCCGAUGCUUGGCUUACCCGUCUUCACAUGGAAACUUUUCCCUCCUGGUUGCGCCAACAACUUAUGGGUAACUCUGAGAUUCACCCACAGCUUGCCUGGUUAGCCAGGGGACCUGCUAGCACAAUUGUGAAAUUUCAAGGCUAUGAGAUAAAUGGUUAUACAUUUUACACGAGAGCCCAGGACCAGAAAAGCACGAAACCAGAAUAGUGGUGUCCGCAUACAUGCCAUGGACAGAAAUAAUAGCAAGGAGUCGUAUUAUGGUUUCAUAUAGGAGAUAUGGGAACUUGAAUACGGACCGUUGUACAUCCCUCUAUUUCUUUGUAAUUGGGUGAAGCAAACUGCCGUAACCAAAGAUCAGUACGGAAUGACAAUAGUAGAUCUGAGCAAGACUGGAUACAGUGAUGACCCAUUCGUACUUGCCAACAAUGUGCAACAGGUGUUCUAUGUGAAGGACAUGUGUAGCAAACCCAAGAGAAAUCCAGAAGAGACAUGGGAGCCAAAGUGCCACAUAGUUUUUCCAGGUAGAAGAAAAAUCGUGGGAGUCGAGGAUAAAACAAACCAAUCAGAUGAUUAUGAUUAGUUUGAUGGCAUGCCUCCAUUCGCCGUUGAAGUUGAUCCAAGCAUCCUGCUAUCCAAAGAAGAGGCUCCGUACUUACGCCGCGAUCAUGAUCAAGGAACUUUCGUGAAGAAGAAAUUCUACAACGUUGUAUUGUAAUGCGCUAAAUUUACAUGACCUUUGUGUAGUAAUUGAUACAAUUUUUAAUUUACCCUAUGUAUGAUUUGAUGUGUUCUUAAAUUUGUUAGGUGAAGAUUUAUUAGAUAAACAUGAACAAUGUUAACCACAUACAUACAUGGAUUUUUCUGCGCAUUGAAAUUAUUUAAUGGAAUAAUUUCUUGAUCACAGCGAUGUAGUAAAAUAAAUAUUUUAGAGCCUAAAUGAACUGGUAUAGAAUUAAUGACUAACUCACACUUAUUGUCAAUUUACUCGCUAAUUAAAUAUAUUUUUGCAUGUACAAAAUAUGUGAAGGUUUUUGUUUUUCAUCCUGAAUUGCAGUGAAAAGAUAAAUAAAAUCCAUUUCCAAAAAACAGGCGGGAGAAGAAAACUGGGAAAAGGACCUUUUGUCCCGGGUGCCAACAGAAACCGGGACAAAAAGCCCCCCCCCUUUUAUCCCGGUUGGUGGUGGCACCCGAGAUAAAAGGGUAGGCUCCAAGCCCCACUUGGCGGACGCACCCUUUUGUCCCGGGUCCCGUCACCAACCGGGAUAAAAGGGGGGGCCUUUUAUCCCGGUUGGUGAGGGGACCCAGGACAAAAGGCCCUUUAGUCCCGGGUGUCAUUACGAACCGGGAUAAAAGGGGGGUUAAAAGGCACUAUAGCCCCUUCUACCCCCCACGCCAGUUACAGUUAGCAAAAUUUUCACCAAGAUCCCGCGCGCACUCUGCUCCGUCGCUGCCCGUCCGCCUUCCUCGCCAGCCGUCAUCGUCGUCGUCCCCCAUUGCCCCGGCCGUCGUCGUCCCGCCGGCUGACCGUGCCCAGAUAGCCUCCUCCUCCAUCGCCCCGGCCCGCCUCGAUCCUCCUGCGUCGUGCCCGGCCCCUACCUCAUCGACGCCGGCCACCUCCAUCGCGGGGCCUCAUCGCCGCCUCCAUCCUCGUCGCCACCUCGACGCCCUGGGUCGCCGCCUCGUCGCCCCUCGUCGCUGCCUCGUCGCCGUCCUGCCUCCGCCGUCUCGCCGUCCCGCGCGCCUUCGCUCCGUCGUCGCCUCCGCCGUCCCACCGCCCCAGCCACCGCCAUCCCGCCACCCCGGCCACCUCGUCGCCCCGACCACCGUCGACCGCGCGUGAGGUCCGCCGCACCGGCACUGGCGCCGGGAGUACCGCCUUGCUGACGCAAGCCCACCGGCUUGCGUCAACAAGGGCCUUUUUUAAGUUAGAAAAUAAAUAGAAAGGAGUAGUAAUUAGGUAGAAAUUCAAUAGAUUUUUGUAUAUGUGUUACAAAAUCAAAUUAGUGUAAAUUAGUUGUAAUUAGGUUCGUCGCUCUGCCUAGGUUAGAAAUGAAUCGUGUUUCGUCGUGGUUCCGUCCCCGCCUCCGCCGUCCCGCCACCCUGACCGUCGCCGUCCCAACCUAGGCACCGUCUGUGGUUCCGUCCCCGCCUCCGCCGUUCCGCCUCCAUCGCAAAUUCAUGUUAUUGCUAGAAAUUCCAAUAAAUAUGAACAAAUUAGUAGAAAUUUGGUAGAAAUUAAUCAUUGCUGCGGCCACCUCGCUCCACAAAUUCAUGUUAUUGCUAGAAAUUCAUAAAAAUUCAUGUUAUCACUAGAAAUUCGUACAAAAUUCAUGUUAUUGCUAGAAAUUCGUAAAAAUUCAUGUUAUUGCUAGAAAUUCGUACAAAAUUCAUGUUAUUGCUAGAAAUUCGUACAAAUUCAUGUUAUUGCUAGAAAUUCGUCACAAAGUACUACUAAUUUGCAAAAAUUUGUAUAAAUAUUCCGGACUUUGUGGGAUUCAUGUUAUUUUCUGAUUUCAUGUAUAUACCCUUAUGUACAUAUAACUAAGGAGAUUUCUAUGACUUUCAUGUAUGUUUCAAUCAAUAGUUGAAAUGGCAGACGAUGAGACCGCAAGGUAUCUCAUGGAGCAGAUAAUCGCUGGUGAUGGUAGUGGCGACAACCUUCCACUAUCGUACACCGAUGAAGAGGGCACCCAGGCGGACAUGUUCCUCAACAUGUCCGCCGAUGGGAAUGAAGAGCAAAAGCCCCAGCAACACCUUGCCGGGGCGGAAGGUUCCGGCGAGGUAUAUAUAACGAUUCUUGUAUUGUUUCACACCACCGUUACUACUACGUACUAAUUAACGAAUCAUGAACCGUUAGCCCUCUGGAUCGACGCAAGGGCAGAAGACACGAGGUCGUACAAAGGUGAUGGAAGGGAGGCUUGUCAUCACGGAAGUGAUAGAAGAGGGCAGGCCGGUUGCUCCCGAGAAAGUAGCAAAGAAGUACGUGAGUCAGAUCGGGGCAAUCGUCCGGGACAACGUGCCUAUCAGCAUCAGAGAAUGGAAGGGCAGAAGCACUAAUCCGUACGCCCUCCUGGAGACAGAAAGAAUAUGCUGUGGGAAGAUGUCAAGAGACAUUUCACAUUCACCGAAGGAUAUAUUGAGAAGGAUGUGAAAGCGUGGACGCUUAAGAAGAUGGCUACACAAUUUCCAGACAUUUAAGAAGAUGCUAGAUACCCACUACAUUAAGAAGGGCCGAACUCCAGACUUCAACGCGUGGUCAAAGUUGAGGGACCACUAGGAUGCAUUUGUUGAAUAUAAGAGGAGUGAAUACGAUGUGAAAAAGAUCACGACCAACACAACAAAUGCUAGUCAGAAGGGCUACCAUCAUCAUCUGGGGCGAGAUGGUUAUGGCUCAGCAAUUCCCAAGUCGAGGAAGAUGGAACAAGAUCUGAUUGAACGGGGAAUCGUACCGGCAACUAUUGAAUGGCCCGAACGAUCAAAAAAUUGGUACUACGCUCAUGGAGGCUCCCUGUGCCAAGAGGAUGGGACGUUGAUUUUCAAUAACACAAUACGUUAGAAGGCCAAACAUCUUGUGAAGAACAUUGAAGAUUCUAAGGCUGGGAGGUUGAAGGUGGACCGAGAAAAUGAUGAGCUCACAUUGGCCCUUGGUAAUCCAGAGCACCCAGGAUGUUGCCGAGGGUUCGGGGUCGUUCCGUGGAAGUUUGUUUUCCGAGGCGACAGCGCCUCGUACAGAAGCCGGAAGCGAAGAAAGGAACAGAUCGAGGAGAGCUGGUGGCAGAUGCUAGAAUCCAAAGUGCAGGCACAAGAACAAAGAAUGAUGGAGGAAAUCAAUCGUCGAGUGGCCCACGCAGUUGUGGAGUUGGCCCAAUCUGGAGCAUUGCCGAAUCCUAACAACGCCAGCCCUUCUCAAUGCCUCUUGAGCAGUUAUGCUUCUACAGGGGUCCCCGAUGCGCACACGCCCAGGUUACCCGUGGAGGAGCAACGGUUCCCCGUGGAUGCCAUCACGCAACACACCACAUGUGAGCUGCAUGCACCGGUCGGCAACCUCACUAUUAAGGUAUACUUAUACAUAAUAUUUAUGCAAUCUUGUCAAUUGAUCCACGCCUCGAUAUCGGAGUUUAACUUGUUUACUUCUACUAUAUGUACAGGUAGCGUACGGGAGUGCGUUAGCAACCCUGGCGGGGCAGAGCAGUCAUGGCAUGAAGAUUCCACCUGGCUACGCUAGCGUCCGCGUAGAGCAAAUAGUUGAUAGCCAAUAUGAAGGUCUAGAGCUCGACCUCCCGGGAGGUGACAGGGAAAGAACACUGGCAGAUGCGCUUCAUGGGAUCAUUCUAUGGCGAAAACGCUACAUCAUUAUUCCCGGCACGGAGCCAUCUCCUCAGAGCUCAAGACCACUCCCCGUAGAUCCCCAGCAGCGACCUUCUCCUCAUAGCUCGAGACCGUCAUCUCCUGCACAACCUGCUCCAGGACCGUCCCUUCCAUCUAUAUCAAGGUCUCCAUCUCCACCACAUCCUGGUGGUGGGAGCGACGACGACAAUAACAACACCCCUUCCUGAUCACCAUCGCCGGCACCAAGAGCGGCCCCCAUGAAGGAACCUGCACCACCACUAAAAAAGUCACGAGCACCGCCUCCCAAGCAAAGACAGAGAAAGAAGAAAACAAAGGAGCCUGAAGUGACUCGUAAGGAACGCUGGGAGACAAUGUCUCAUGCGGAACAGUGGGCAGAAAUCCAACAAGAGGCCAGUGAGUGGUUCAAGAAACAAGCCGAAGAAAAAAAAGCAACGGAGAUGCAGCCACCGCCAGUAAAUCGAAGAGAUUUAAACUUUUUUAUCAGGAUGGAAGAAGGAGCCAAGAAAAGGAUACCACUCUUAUCAAACUAUGAACGGGCUUUAGUAAAGGCUGAUGAAAAGGAUAAAAGGAAAGGAAAGUCAUCUUCCAGCGGUGCUGUCCCCGACCUCAGCCAUUUAUCAAAAAAAGAUGCUCAACGGGUAAAAGCAAUGCCCUUGGAUCAACAAGCAGAAGUAUUGAAGUUCAUGCAAGAAACAGGUCUGGGACUUGAUGAAUGCCUAGGGCAAGUUGAGACGCCAACUGCACCGCCCCCUGAGCCGAGAUGGCCUUAUGAGCUAGGCAAACCUCUAGUAAAGCCUUCAUUGGUACGAAAGCUAUCAACAAAGAUGUACGCAUUCCAUCAAUGGUACAUGAUGGCAUCCGCUGACUCAAGGGAGAUGCUCGGCCUGAAGGUAAAACCGAUGGAUUUUCACGACAGAGGCGAGAAAGUGCUGUGGCUAGACUUCAAGGAUAUAUACGAAGUGUACCAUCAUGAUGCCAUAGACGUCUCUCUGAUCCGCGCUUGGGUUCUGUAAGUGUCCGUUUAUCUCUACAUGUAAAUUUUGGCGUGCGUCACCGUACUAACUUCGUCUUCCAUUUCAUGUAGGAUGCUAAUUCAGACAUGCCGCCGAGAGGCGUACCUACAUAUAGGCUUCAUGGAUCCAUCUGUAGUUAACCAACAGCAGAUACAAUUAGCAUCGGAGAAAACCUUGGUGGAAGUAUACAAUUUCCUAGACAAACAAACAUUCAAGGAUUUCAUACUAUUUCCAUACAACUUCAAGUAAGUGUGUGUAUACCGUCUACUUUCGAUGUCUUUUUCCUUAUCUCUACAUGUUAGUUAGCUCUAAUAUGCAUGAACAUUUUACGCACGCAGCUUCCACUGGAUCCUUAUUAUAAUUGAGCCUCAAAGAAGCCACGUCACUGUCUUCAAUUCGUUGAGGAAAGAUCCAGUGGAGCACCAAGAAAUGCAACACAUGCUAGGCUUGUAAUAAUUCUGGACCUUUAUCUCUAUGCAAAAGUUUGUUUCCUAAAUUCUAUCCCUGUUACACUAUAUCAUUCAUUAUUCUAAUCCACAGCGUAUGGAAACAAUUCAUAAGGACACAAAAAGGUCCAUUCAAAGAAAAACUUACAUGGAACACAGACUUCCCGGUACAUAUGAAGUCUGCACAUUUAUUACAUUGUAUAACACGAAUAUUUCAUAACUUAUUUUUUUCCGUAUUGAAGUGCUUAAGACAGGAACUCGGAAAUAAUCUAUGUGGCUACUACAUCUGUGAGCACAUGCACAGUUUUAUGGGACCCAAGGGACUAAAGAUGACGCCGCACAACUUUAAAGUACGUAAAAUAAAACUAUUACUAGUUAAUUAUUUUCUAGCUCCUUAUAUGUAUUUGUUCACGUAACAUUCACAAAUUUCCAAAUUAUAGAUGUUAAAUAUUCAACAAGGACUCUUGAAGGAAGAAAGAGUAGCGGCAAUAUGUGAAGGUCUCAUUGGAUUCCUAAUGGACAAGGUGGUAGAUCCAAAAGGAGAAUUUUAUUUUGAUGGACGACAAUUAGACACUCUGAUCAGCAACACCUCGAUGGGAAGAUUGUAGAUAGAUACUUUGAUUUAUUUGUAUAUAUAAUACGCGCUAAUUAUGAUCGAUUUGUACUAGUUGAAUUCUGUAUAUGAAUUGUGUAUAAGAAUUGUGUAUAUAUAUAGUAACUGUAUAAUUACAAAUCCCAUUCGUUUAAAUACUAGUUAAUUUCAUUCUAAAAAAAUCUCAACUACUUAAGGUUAACAAAAGGGCUGCGGUACUACGUACGUGAUGCAUGCAUGAAAAAUUCAGGCGCCAGGCAGGUGCCAUGCAGGGCAUCAUUUAGUCCCGUUUGGAAUCCAGCCGGGACUAAAGGGUAACCCUUUACUCCCGGUUGGGAAACCCAACCGGGACUAAAGGGGGACCGUUACUCCCGGUUAAAAGACCCGGGACUAAAACCCCCCCUUUUGUCCCGGUUGGCUUAUCCCGGAUAAAUUUUCGGGAGAUAUGCACCCUACCAACCGGGACUAAAGGCCAAUUCUCCACUAGUGGAAGGUCCUUUCUCUACCAUGAAUAUUGCCAGAAAGAAUUGAAAGAGACCGCUUGCUAAAAACAUGUCAUAGAUGCGGACCAAGCUACCAAGGAGGUAGACCAAACAUGAUACACACCAUGCGUACCUUGCUGUGCAGACUAUGCAUGGACAAGAUACCCGACCACAUGUUGGCUUUGGUCACAUCAAAAGAAUCAUGUAGGCCAUUAAUAAACUACUUGAAGCGUCAUUCCGUAUCUUAUAUCCAUCAUCUGCAUUACAUUACAUUAAAUAUUAUUAACUAUUUGAAUAAAAUGAACCAAUUUAAAAAUAAUGAAUUGUACAUUACUACAAAAAGCCCUAGCACUGCCAGUUCCAAAAACAUCAUUGUUGACGGCCGUUAAGUACCAAAUAUGACGGUCAAUAUCCUAAAGAAUAAAGGACAAUUGGCAUUUCUUACACACAUAUUUGGUUUCGAAUAAUGUAGUUCUACAUGUCCUUGGAGAUUAUUUGGGUGUGGGUGAAAUAAUACAAAAAGAAGGAGAAAACACACUCCCAUGGCAAAGAAACAUAACUCCGACCAAUGAGAGAUAGCCACAGGGGCAGCACAUGGAUCCAUGGGCCCACAAACUGCAUCAAACCAUCUUACAAGGCGGGUAGCACCCACAACUGUCAUUAGGACCCACCUGGAAGUCUAGCAAAGAAGAAGGUUGUGAGUGGGGCCACGAGGGGUUCGGUUGAAUCAUCUCUAGCUCCCUUCAUCCCCAGCUGGCGCGUGGCGGUGGUUCAUGGUGUCCCGACAUCGGUUAGAGGACAUUCCCCCAAAUAUUCCUCCUGUAAACCAGCUCUAUGAACCUAUAAAUAGAGGGGUGUGCUCUCCAUUCCAACACACACCACAAGUUGAAGCACUCUCUCCCUCUUUAGUUUCCAAGUUUACGGAGAUAGGCUGGAGUAGCUCUGCUAAAGGUUCCAAGUCCACUUGGAGUUAAGCGUAUGUCUCUUGUAUCAUUAUUUCCUAGAGAGACUUUAUGCUAUUCAAGUUAUUUAUCUUCUUCAUAUAGUGUUAUGCUUAGUUCUUAUAUGCAUGAGUUAGUCUAAUACCCUUGCUCUAUUGAUAUGCUCAGCUUAUGUGCUCGUAUGCUAGUCAUGUACCCUUGCUGUCAUAGUAUAGGGUUAUAUGCUGUCAUGUGUGCCUAUAGACCUUGCUACAGUAUAUACUUGUUGUGUAUACAUACCAUUUGUAUAUACAUUAUUACAAGUUAAGGUAGUUUUAAAUAUCCUUGUGUUGACAACCAAAGCUUGAUCUUUUGUUUCCAUUGCCAGCGGAUUCAUCGGCUCAGAGUAGGAUCAAGACAUCAAGUUGAUGGAGUUCUUUAUAUUUCAAGAGGAGUCAUGGAGUUCUUUAUAUUUCAAGAGGAGUUGAUGGUGCUUUCAAUAUUGCAACCAGACAUCAUUGGCUCUGAAGACACCGAAUCAUCGGAGUUCUAUGAUCAGUUUCGGAACAUGAAGCCUUCAUACUCCGAAACUGGGGGGCCUGUGUUGACACCGAAUUAUCGGACUUCUAUAAUUAGUUUCGGAACAUGAAGCCUUCAUACUUCGAAACUGGGGGGUAUGUGUUUACACCAAAAUUUAGAAAUGUGCUCUGAAAGGAAGGACCUGGGAGAUCUAUUGGCUGAAAUACAAAUCCAUCGAAACUAGCCUUAUGCUAAGAGAUCAGAAUAUUGUACAAAGUCUAGAAAGUUCUAUUUACAUCUAAGUAACUCGAUAACUAGCCUUACGCUAAGAGAUCAGAAUAUUGGACAAAGCCUACAAAGUUCUAAUAUAGGUAACGUAAUGACCAGGUGAGGAUAGUUACAAGCUCGCUUGAGAUCGAAGCCGAUGUAGCCCUGCGCGCAAGAAGAAACUCACCUAUUUCUACUCUACUCUUACUCCUAGGGUUUGAUGGCGUGGCGUCAAAAGAUUGUAUUGAUUGAUUGAUUAUUUGAUACAAAGCUCAUGGGCCUAUAUUUAUACCCUUGAGAAAGCUAAAAUCCUAAUCAGUUAUGACAUGAAUCGUGACAGAAAAUCUAACUAAAGAUAGAUCUCCAUGCUUUCCCUUAUUUGGUGGAGUCGAUUUCACUUCAUAUCGGAUCCCUCCCGAUCUUCUAUCGGCUUCUAGCAUCCGGUCAUCUGCGACUGGCCUUGGUCAACAUCAGGUGUCAACAGACUUAUUUCUUCUACAAGUUCAUCGGCUGUCAGAGCCUUGUCUUAGUCAGUUGACUCUAGUAAAAAAUCGAUGUCAAUACAUGCCCCCCAAUUUUUGAAUAAAAUAUUAUAUUUCAAAAUUCUCUUCUCUUGUCAACAGCUUUUGAAAGAAAAAGAGUCACUGCUGCAAUCAUAAUCUUUUUCCCCGGGUUUUGUGAUAGCACCCUCCUCAUUUUAAGGGAUUCACCAUGUGGAAAUUAUAAUAUAACUGCUUCACCCAUUUCGUUUUCUUCACCAAACCAACUAUUGUCAGCCGCUACAACCAAAAAUCAAUUAUUCCCUUCACAUGCCUAGCGACUGCAUCCAUCACUCAUCGUCACCAUUAGUCUCCAUGUGUCAAGGCUUCUUCAACCAGCAAUGGCGACAUUAUCUUCCAUUCCACAGGUACCAUGUAUCCUAGCCAUUCCUUUCCCCUUUCAACCUGAAAUCCAAUCUAGUCACUAUAUAUCAAACCUGUGUUCUUAAUCAAUACUUGCCCCCUUGUACUUAGAAACACCCUUUUGAUCCCCAUAUCCGAUACGCAAGCAGAAUACUUUCUAGGCCCCAUGGGUAGUGAAGACCCAAUAGAAUCUAUUAAUGCUGAAAUACUUGGACAAAGUCUAGAAAGUUCUAUUUACAUCUAAGUAACUCGAUAACUAGCCUUACGCUAAGAGAUUUAAAUAUUGGAUAAAGCCUAGAAAGUUCUUAUAUAGGUAACUGAAAAGUGUGUUGACGCAAAAAUUGGAUGGUUGACUCCUGCGUACUAACACACGGAACCAGGGAGAAUCUGCUUAGCUACUGUUCGGGUUAUAGCCCUCUCGAUCCGUAGCGUGCCAGUUAAUCUGACCUGCUGAUUGACAAGUAAAAAUGUCAAAUUAAGAGCAAAUCAGCUGGUGUUCCGAAUCGCUCCACGGGACGUAUCAGUAGACAGCCGAUACGGGCAAACGACAAUCAGCUAGAUCAGCCGAUUUGCUCUUGUAUUUGACGUUUUACUUGUCCUUCUCAAUCAGCAGGUCAGAUUGACUCGCACGACGCAGAUCGAGAGGGCUAUAACCUAAACAAGAGCUAAGCAGAUUCUCCCGGGUUUCAUGUCUUAGUACACAGAAGUCAACCGUCUGAUUUUAUCAUCAACACGCUUUUUGGCACGCUCAGUGGGACCCGAUUCAUAUCUUAAUGGUAAUUGGUGAUCAAGUUUCAAACAACGUAUCCACUGGUAGAAAACUGAGCAUUAGUCCCGGUUGGUAAGGGUCAUAUCUCUCGGAUAUCCAUCCGGGAUAAACCAACCGGGACAAAAGGGGGGGGUCUUUAGUCCCGGGUAUUUUAACCGGGAGUAAAGGACCCCCUUUAGUCCCGGUUGGUGUCACCAACCGGGACUAAAGGGCCUGCCACGCCAGGCGCGGGACAGGCCCUUUAGUCCCGGUUGGUGACACCAACCGGGACUAAAGGGGGUCCCUUUAGUCCCGGUUGGAUUUCCCAACCGGGACUAAAGGGGUCCCCUUUAGUCCCGGCUCAAUUCCAACCGGGACUAAAUUGCGCUUGCAUGGCACUGGUGACGCCUGAAUUUUUCAUGCAUGCAUCACGUAUACGUAUAGUAGUACCGCGGCCCUUUUAAUUUGUUAACCUUGUAGUUGAGAUUUUUUUAGAAUGAAUUAAAUCAACUAGUAUUUAAACGAAUGGGAUUUGUAAUUACACAACUACUAUAUAUAUACACAAUCCUUAUACACAAUUCAUAUACACAAUUCAACUAGCUUAAUUAGUACAAAUCGAUCAUAUAUACAAAUAAAUCAAAGUAUCUUCCUACGAUCUUCCCGUCGUGGUGUUGCUGAGAGGAGUGUCUAAUUGUCGUCCAUCGUAAUAAAAUUCUCCUCUUGGAUUUACCACCUCGUCCAUUAUGAAUCCAAUGAGACCUUCACAUAUUGCCGCUACUCUUUCUUCCUUCAAGAGUCCUUGUUGAAUAUUUAACAUCUAUAAUUUGGAAAUUUGUGAAUGUUACAUGAACAAAUACAUAUAAGGAGCUAGAAAAUAAUUAACUAGUAAUAUAUUUAUUUUACGUACUUUAAAGUUGUGCGGCGUCAUCUUCGGUCCCUUGGGUCCCAAAAAACUGUGCAUGUGCUCACAGAUGUAGUAGCCACAUAGGUUAUUCCCGGGUUCCUGUCUUAAGCACUUCAGUGCGGAAAAAAAAUAAGUUAUGAAAUAUUCGUGUUAUACAAUGUAAUAAAUGUGCAGACUUCAUACGUACCGGGAAGUCUGUGUUCCAUGUAAGAUCUUCUUUGAAUGGACCUUUGUGUGUCCUUAUGAAUUGUUUCCAUACGCUGCGGAUUAGAAUAAUGAAUGACAUAGUGUAACAGGGAUAAAAUUUAGGAAAUAAAUUUUUGCAUAGAGAUAAAGGUCCAGAAUUAUUACAAGCCUAGCAUGUCUUGCAAUUCUUGGUAGUCCACCGGAUCUUUCCGUAACGAAUCAAAGACAGUGACGUGGCUUCUUUCAGGCUCAAUUAUAAUAAGGAUCCAGUGGAAGCUGCGUGCGUAAAAUGUUCAUGCAUAUUAGAGCUAACUAACAUGUAGAGAUAAGGAAAAAGACAUCGAAAGUAGACGGUAUACACACACUUACUUGAAGUUGUAUGGAAGUAGUAUGAAAUCCUUGAAUGUUUGUUUGUGUAGGAAAUUGUAUAUUUCGGCAAAGGUUUUUUCCGGCGCUAAUUGUAUCUGUUGUUGGUUAACUACAGAUGGAUCCAUGAAGCCUACAUGUAGGUACGCCUCUCGGCGGCAUGUCUGAAUUAGCAUCCUACAUGAAAUGGAAGAUGAAGUUAGUACGGUGACGCACGCCAAAAUUUACAUGUAGAGAUAAUAAACGGACACUUACAGAAUCCAAGCGCUGAUCAGAGAGACGUCCAGGGCAUCAUGAUGGUACACUUCGUAUAUAUCCUUGAAGUCUAGCCACAGCACUUUCUCCCCUUCACCGUGAAAAUCUAUCGGUUUUACCUUCAUGCCGAUCAUCUCCCUCGAUUUGGCGGAUGCCGUCAUGUACCAUUGAUGGAAUUCGUACAUCUUUGUUGACAGCUUCCGUACCAUUGCCGGCUUCACUAGAGGCUUGCCUAGCUCAUAAGGCCAUCUCGGCUCAGGGGGCGGUGCAGUUGGCGUCUCGACUUGCCCUAUGCAUUCUUCAAGUCCCAGACCUGUUUCUUCCAUGAACUUCAAUAUAUUUUCUUGUUGAUCCAAGGGCAUUGCUUUUACCCGUUGAGCAUCUUUCUUUGAUAAAUGGCUGAGGUCGGGGACUGAACCGCUGGAGGAUGAUUUUCCUUUUCUUUUAUCCUUUUCAUCAGCCUUUACUAGAGCCCGUUCAUAGUUUGACAAGAGUGGUAUCCUUUUCUUGGCUCCUUCCUCCAUCCUGAUAAAAAAGUUUAAAUCCCGCCGACUUACUGGCGGUGGCUCCAUCUCCCUUGCCCUUUUUAAUUCGGCUUGUUUCUUGAACCACUCACUGGCCUCUCGUUGGAUUUCUGCCCACUGUUCCGCAUGAGACAUUGCCUCAAAGCGUUCCUUGCGAGCCACUUCAGGGUCGACCUUUGUUUUCUUCUUUCGAGGCUGUCUUUGCUUGGGAGGCGGUGCUCGUGACUUCUUGAGUGGUGCUGCAGGUUCCUUCGAGGGGGCCGCUCUUGGUGCCAGCGACGGUGAUCGGGGAGGGGUGUUGUUAUUGUCGUCGUCGCUCCCAGCACCAGGAUGUGGUGGAGAUGGAGACCUUGAUAUAGAUGGAAGCGACGGUCCUGGAGCAGGAGAUGCCGGUCUCGAGGUAUGAGGAGAAGGUCGCUGCUCGGGAUCUACGGGGAGCGGUCUUGAGGUCUGAGGAGAUGGCUCCGUGCGGGAAAUAAUGAUGUAGCGUUUCUUCCAUAGAAUGAUCCCAUGAAGCGCAUCUGCCAAUGUCUUUUCCCCGUCGCCUCCCGGGAAGUCGAGCUCUAGACCUUCAUACUGGGCAUCUACUAUUUGCUCGACGCAGACGCUGGCGUAGCCUGUUGGAAUGUCCAUGCCAUGACUGCUCUGCCCUGCCAGCGUUGGUAACGCACUCCCAUACGCUACCUGUACAUAUAGCAGAAGUAAACAAGUUGAACUCCGAUCUCGAGGCCUGGAUCAAUUGACAAGAUUGCAUAAAUAUUAUGUAUAAGUAUACCUUAAUAGUGAGGUUGCCGACCGGUGCAUGCAGCUCACAUGAGGUCCGUUGCGUGAUGGCAUCCACGGGGAACCGUUGCUCCUCCACGGGUAACCUGGGCGUCUGCGCAUCGGGGACCCCUGUAGAAGCACAACUGCUCCCGAGGCGUUGAGAAGGGCUGGCGGUGUGAGGAUUCGGCAGUGCUCCAGAUUGCGCCAACUCCGCAACUGCGUCGGCCACCCGCCGAUUGAUUUCAUCCAUCAUUCGUUGUUCUAGCAUCUGCCGCCAGCUCUCCUCCAUCUGUUCCUUUCUUCGCUUCCGGCUUCUGUAAGAGGCGCUGUCGCCUCGGAAAGCGAACUUCCACGGAACCACCCCGAACCCCCGGCAACGUCCUGGGUGCUCUGGAUUACCGAGGGCCAAUGUGAGCUCAUCAUUUUCUCGGUCCACCCUCAACCUCCCAGCCUUGGAAUCUUCAAUGUUCUUCAUGAGAUGUUCGGCCUUCUCACGUAUUCUGUCAUUGAAAAUCAGCGUCCCAUCCUCUUGGCUUAGGGAGCCUCCAUGAGCGUAGUACCAGUUCUUUGAUCGUUCGGGCCAUUCAAUAGUUGCAGGUAUGAUUCCCCGUUCGAUCAGAUCUUGUUCCAUCUUUCUCCACUUGGGAAUUGCUGAGCCAUACCCACCUCGCCCCAAAUGAUGGUGGUAGCCCUUCUGACUAGCAUUUGCAACGUUGGUCGUGAUCUUUUUCACACCUUCUUCACUCCUCUUGUAUUCAACAAAUGCAUCCCAGUGGUCCCUCAACUUGGGCCACGCGUUGAAGUCUGGAGUUUUGCCCUUCUUGAUGUAGUGGGUGUCCAGCAUCUUCUUGAAUGUCUGGAAUUGAGUAGCCAUCUUCUUAAGUGUCCACGCUUUGACAUCCUUCUCGCUAUAAUCUUCGGGGAAUGUGAAAUGCCUCUUCACGUCUUCCCACAGCAUAUUCUUUUCUGUCUCUGGAAGGGCGUACGGAUUAUCGCUUCUGCCCUUCCAUUCUCUGAUGCUGAUAGGCACGUUGUCCCGGACAAUUGCCCCGAUUUGACUAACGUACUUCUUUGCGACUUUCUCGGGAGCAACCGGCCUGCCCUCAUCUGUAACUUCGGUGAUGACAAGCCUCCCUUCCAUCACCUUUGUACGACCUCGGGUCUUCUGCCCUUGUGUCGAUCCGGAGGGCUAACAGUUUAAGAUUCGUUAAUUAGUACGUACUAGUAGCGGUGGCGUGAAACAAUACAAGAAUGGUUGUAUAUACCUCGCCGGAACCUUCCGCCACGGCAAGUUGUUGCUGCGGCUGUUGCUCUUCAUUCACAUCGGCAGACAUGUUGAGGAACAUGUCCGCCUGGGUGCCCUCUUCAUCCGUGUAUGAUAGUGGAACGUUGUCGCCACUAUCAUCACCAGCGAUUAUCUGCUCCAUGAUAUACCUUGCGGUCUCAUCGUCUGCCAUUUCAACUAUUGCUGCAAACAUACAUGGAAUCAUACAUGACAGUCAUAGAAAUCGUCUUAAUACAAAUUUGUAUAUAAUCACAGUUCGGAAUCAUACAUGUAUAUAAUGAAAUCAUAAAAUAACAUGAAUCGUACAAAGUCCGGAAUCUUUAUACAAAUUUCUAUGAAUUUAUACAAAUUUCUAUGAAUUUAUACAAAUUUCUAUGAAUUUCUAUGAAUUUCUAUGAAUUUCUAUGAAUUUCUAUGAAUUUCUAUGAAUUUAUACAAAUUUCUACGAAUUUCUAUGAAUUUCUAUGAAUUUCUAUGAAUUUAUACAAAUUUCUACGAAUUUCUAUGAAUUUCUACAAAUUUCUACGAUUUUCUAUGAAUUUCUACAAAUUUCUACGAAUUCCUACGAAUUUUGACGAAUUUCUACGAAUUUUGACGAAUUUCUACGAAUUUCUACGACGGCGAUAAGGGCGGCGAAGGCGGGACGGCGGCGGUCAGGGCGGCGGAGGCGGGACGGCGGCGGUCAGGGCGGCGGAGGCGGUUCACCGGAACCACGGGCGGUGCCUAAGCUACUACGUUGUGAUGGGCGGCAGGACGGCGGCGAUCACGGCGGCUACUCGGCGGCGAUCACGACGGCUACAAGGCGACUGUCACGGUAGCUACUCGGCGGGACGGCGGCGAUCACGACGGCGGGACGGUAGUUAACAACCUAACUACAAAUCUAACUUAACAAACUAACUAGAAAUCUAAAAAUCUAACUUAACAAAAUUAGAAAUCUAAAAAUCUAACUUAACAAAAUUACAAUUCCAUCUAAAAAAACAAAAUUAAAAAUUAAAAGAAAACGGCCAGCUCUCCCGGCGCACCGGCCGGCGCGGCAGACCUCUCGCGCGCGGGGCGGCGGCCGGGGCGGCGGGACGGCGGCGGCCGGGGCGGCCUGACGGCGGCGGCUGGGGCGGCGACGAGGACGAAGACGACGACGGCGGGAUGACGGCGGCCGAGGCGAAGACGACGACGGCGGCCGGCGAGGGGCGACGAGGAUGGAGCUGGCGACGAGGGGCGAUGCAGCCGGCGAGGGAGGCGGACGGGCGGCGACGGGCGGAGAGGGAGGCGGACGGGCGGCGACGGGCGAGGGAGGCGGACGGGCGACGACGACGGCGCAAUGCGGGACUUCGACGGCGCAAUGGGGGACGACGACGGCGGCGGCCGGCGAGGGAGGCGGACGGGCGGCGACGGGCGGAGAGCGCGGGACUUGCGAAAAUUUCGCUAAGUGUGGAACUGGCGGGGGGUAGAAGGGAGUACAGUGCUUUUAACCCCCCCCCCCUUUUAUCCCGGUUCGUAAUGGCACCCGGGACAAAAAGGGCCUUUUGUCCCGGGUCCUGUCACCAACCGGGACAAAAGGCCCCCCCUUUUAUCCCGGUUGGUGACGGGACCCGGGAUAAAAGGGUGCGCUCCCAGCCCCACCUGGCGGGGGCACCCUUUUAUCUCGGGUCCCGUUACCAACCGGGACAAAAGGCCCCCCCUUUUAUCCCGGUUGGUAACGGGACCCGGGACAAAAGGGUGCCCCCGCCAGGUGGGGCUGGGAGCGCACCCUUUUAUCCCGGGUCCCGUCACCAACCGGGAUAAAAGGGGGGGGCCUUUUAUCCCUGUUGCAAAUGGCAACCGGGAUAAAAGGGUACGUUCGGGCGGGAGACGAAACGUACCCUUUUAUCCCGGUUGCCGUUUGCAACCAGGAUAAAAGGGGGGCCUUUUAUCCCGGUUGCUGUUAGCACCCGGGACAAAAGGUCCUUUUUCCUAUUUUUCUUCUCCCGCCUGUUUUUUGGAAAUGGAUUUUAUUUAACCUUUUCACUGCAUUCCAGGAUGAAAAACAAAACCUUCUCAGAUUUUGUACAUGCAAAAAUAUAUUUAAUUAACGAGUAAAUUGACAAUAAGUAUGAAGUAAUCAUUAUUUCUAUACCAACUCAUAUAGCCUGUAAAAUAUUUAUUUUACUGCAUUGCUGUGAUCAAUAAAUUAUUCAAUUAAAUUUUUUGAAUGCGCAGAAAAAUCCAUGUUAGUAUGUGGUUAACAAUGUUCAUGUAUAUCUAAAAAAUCUUCACCUAACAAAUUUAAUUACAAAUUUUAUCAAUUAAUACACAAAGGUCAUGCACAUUUAACGCAUUACAAUACAACGUUGUAAAAUUUCUUCUUCACGAAAGUUCCUUGAUCAUGAUCGCGGCGUAAGUACGGAGCCUCUUCUUUGGACAGCAGGAUGCUUGGAUCAACUUCAACGUCGAAUGGAGGCAUGCCAUCAAACUGAUCAUAAUCAUCUGAUUGGUCUGUUUUAUCCUCGACUCCCACGAUUUUUCUUUUACCUAGAAGAACUAUGUGGCACUUUGGCUCCCAUGUCUCUUCUGGAUUCCUCUUGGGUUUGCUGCACAUGUCCUUCACAUAGAACACCUGAUGCACAUCAUUGGCAAGUACGAAUGGGUCAUCACUGUAUCCAGUCUUGCUCAGAUCUACUAUUGUCAUUCCGUACUGAUCUUUGGUGACGGCAGUUAGCUUCACCCAAUUGCAAAGAAAUAGAGGGAUGUACAGCGGUCCGUAUUCGAGUUCCCAUAUCUCCUGUAUGAAACCAUAAUACGACUCCUUGCUAUUAUUUCUGUCCAUGGCAUCUAUGCGGACACCACUAUUCUGGUUCGUGCUUUUCUGGUCCUGGGCUCUCGUGUAAAAUGUGUAACCAUUUAUCUCAUAGCCUUGGAAUUUGACGAUUGUGGUAGCAGGUCCCCUGGCUAACCAAGCAAGCUGUGGGUGAAUCUCAGAGUUACCCAUAAGUUGUUGGCGCAACCAGGAGGGAAAAGUUUCCAUGUGAUGACGGGUAAGCCAAGCAUCGGAUUUGGUCGGGUUUUUGGAAGCUACCAUCUGCCUGUGCUGCUCGAUAUACGGAGACACAAAGGAUGACUGUUGUAGAACAGUGUAGUGUGCCUUGUCGAACAAAUUAGUAUCAUUGCUCAAACUUGAUUUCCUUCCAAGGGUGCCCAUUCCUCGGAGCCUCCCCUCGUGGCGUGAAGUUGGAACCCCAAUCGAGUCAAUUGAAUCAAUAAAAUCAACACAAAACUCGAUCACCUCCUCUGUUCCAUAUCCCCUGGCGAUGCUUCCUUCUGGACGAGCACGAUUACGAACAUAGUUUUUUAGGACUGCCAUGAACCUCUCGAAAGGCCACAUAUUGUGCAGGUAUACAGGUCCGAGAAUACCAAUCUCUUUUACUAGGUGAACCAGUAAGUGCGUCAUAUUAUUGAAGAAGGAUGGUGGAAAUAACAACUCAAAACUGACAAGACAUUGCACCACAUCGUUCUGUAGCUUUGAUAGCUUGGAUGGAUCGAUUGCCUUCUGCGAAAUCGCAUUGAGAAACGCGCAUAGCUUUACGAGCGGCAACCGGACAUUUUCGGGUAGAACACCCCUCAGUGCAACCGGAAGCAACUGGGUCAUCAACAUGUGGCAGUCAUGAGCCUUGAGAUUUGUAAACUUCUUUUGUUUCAUAUUUAUUAUUCCCUUUAUAUUCGAGGAGUACCCAGACGGGACCUUCAUACUAUUCAAGCAUUCAAACAUACUAUCCUUCUCCUCCUUGCUGAGAGUGUAACUGGCAGGACGUAAGUAGUGCUGUCCAUUAUCUCUCUUUUCCGGAUGUAGGUCAUCUCGUUGCCCCAUGGCUUUCAGGUCCUGUCUUGCUUCCAAUGUAUCUUUUGAGGUUCCAUAAACACCCAUGAAGCCUAGCACGUUCACGCAAAGAUUCUUCGUCAGGUGCAUCACGUCUAUUGCGUUGCGAACCUCUAGGAUUUCCCAAUAAGGUAGCUCCCAAAAUAUUGACUUUUUCUUCCACAUGGGUGCAUGUCCGUUAUCAUCGUUCGGAAUAGGUUGGCUACCAAGUCCCUUUCCAAAGACUACAUGUACAUCCUUCAUCAUCUCGAACACACGCUUUCCAUUACGGUGUGCAGGUUUUUUACGAUGGUCUGGCGUCCCUUUGAAAUGCAUCCCGCUCUUUCUCAGCUGGUGGUGAGCAGGGAGAAAUCGACGAUGACCCAUAUAGACGACCUUCUUACAGUGCUUCAAGUACAUGCUAUCUGUGUCAUCUAAACAGUGGGUGCAUGCCCGAUAUCCCUUAUUUGUCUAUCCUGAAAGGUUACUCAAUGCAGGCCAAUCGUUGAUGGUUACGAACAACAGUGCUCGUAGAUUAAAGAUCUCUUGUCUAUCCUCAUCCCACACACGUACACCUUCUUCCUUCCAGAGCUGUAAAAGGUCAUCAACCAACGGCCUUAGGUACACGUCAAUGUCGUUGCCGGGUUGUUUUAGGCCUUGGAUAAGCGCCGGCAUCAUAAUGAACUUCCGCUUCAUGCACAGCCAAGGAGGAAGGUUGAACAUACAAAGGGUCACAGGCCAAGUACUAUGACCACUACUCAACUCACCGAAUGGAUUGAAUCCAUCAGUGCUUAAACCAAACCUUAUGUUCCUUGCUUCACUUUCAAAGUCUGGGAAUGUUCUAUCAAUUGAUCUCCACUGUGCCCCAUCUGCGGGGUGUCUCAGCAUCUCAUCUUCCUUACGGUCUUCUUUGUGCCAUCGCAUCAACUUAGCAUUCGCCUUGUUCCUGAACAAGCGCUUCAAGCGUGGUAUUAUAGGGAAAUACCACAUCACCUUCACGGGAACUCUCUUCUUGGGAGACUGCCCCUCGACAUCACCAGGAUCAUCUCGCCUGAUCUUAUACCGCAGGGCUUCGCAGACGGGACAAGCAUCCAAUUCCUCGUAUUCAUCACCACGAUAGAGGAUACAGUCAUUAGGGCAUGCGUGUAUCUUCUGAACAUCCAAUCCGAGAGGGCAAAUAAUCUGUUUAGCUUCAUAUGUUGUGGACGGUAAUUCAUUAUUCUCGGGGAGAAUCUUCUUGACAAUUCUCAACAUCCCCUGAAAUGCCUUAUCGGACACACCAUUUUUUGCCUUCCAUUGCACAAAUUCUAGUGUCGUACCUAGUUUUUUAUGGCCCUGCUGGCAACCUGGGUACAACAAUUUUUGGUGAUCAUCUAUCAUGCGCUGCAACUUUGCUGCUUCCUUCUCAGUUUCGCAAUCUCUGUAUGCAUCUCGUAUCACCUGACCAAGGUCAUCAGUAGGGUCAUUUUCUGCAAACUCAUCUUCAUCAGCCUCGCCCAUUGUAGUACCUGCAAAAGCUUGGCCUGCAACCCAGUCCGGAAUGGUGUCAUCUUCCUCCUCCUCCUCGCCAUCUUCCAUUACAACCCCUAGUUCACCGUGCUUGGUCCAAACCAAAUAGUUAGGCAUGAAACCGUAUUUAAACAAGUGGCUGUGAAUAGUCCCCCAGGAAUUCUUUGAAUACUCCUUCCUGUUAUUGCAUUGGAAGCAUGGACAACAUACGAACCCAUUCUCUGGCUUGUUCGCUUUUGCCACUUCGAGAAAAUAAUGCAAGCCAUCAAUAAACACCUUGCUCCGCCUGUCUGCAUUAUACAUCCAAUGCCGGUCCAUCUGCAUCGUAUUACGCACGAAAAUGGAUUACACUUGACAAUGGAUUACGCGUGAAAAUCGAUUAAAGAUCCAAACAACAUGGUACAAUACAACAACAUGAAGAUCCAAAUACACAUAUUUAAAUUAAAGUCCCAAACACUGCAUAAGUUGUUCAACUUGAAGACCGUGAUCAUCUCGUGAGGAUGUCCUCAACUGGGCGGCACCGCACUUCGUCAUUAAAGAGGUUAGAUGCUACGGAAAAGGGGACACGGUCACAAUGUCCGUAUCCACUCUUUCUCGUAGAAUCGAACCUCCUUCUUGACAUACGUUGCUGCUCGGCGGAGAACAUCCUCGGCGAGAUGAACACGGUAUGCAAGUUCAACAAGUAGCAGAAGUCAUCUAUGUACAAAAAUUCUUUCCUUACCACUACAGAAGUUGUUGAACUUGAAGACCGUGUUCAUUUCGCGAGGAUGUCCUCAGCUAGGCGGCACCGCACUUCGUCAUGAAAGAGGUUAGAUGCUACGGAAAAGGGGACACGGUCACGAUGUCCGUAUCCACUCUUUCUCGUAGAAUCGAACCUCCUUCUUGACAUACGUUGCUGCUCGGCGGAGAACAUUCUCGCCGAAAUGAACACGGUAUGCAAGUUCAACAAGUAUAUGGAUUUAAAAAACCAUAUUGAAUUUGAUAAGAUAAACCGUCUAGACAAGGUAGCAUCAUUUUUAAACCACUGAAAUAAUGCAUACUAUAUAUGACACAUCAAUCUCCCUCACAUUCUAGCUCAAAAUACCUCUCCAUUUUUCUACUUCAUCAUCACAUUGUAGCAAAUAAUCUUUCCAUCUCCAAAGCAUAAAUCAAAGCAUAACACGAGGAUGAAGUAGCAAACCUUCGCAGCACUUGUUGGCUGAGUCAAAUUCCCACGAAAAUGAGGGAAAAAAGUUCGGGCAGCACCUCCCUUGCUUGGGCACCACCGGAGAGUAGGUGAAGCUCAGCUCUCUAUCAAUGUGCUGGACUGCUCGGGCUGGAGGAAGAAGAAAGUCUCUGUCUCGGGGUAUAGUGGGGGAUGAGUUUUAAUCCCGGUUAAAAACUCCAACCGAGACAAAAGGAAACACCUUUUGUCCCGGUUGGAAAGUUAGUCCCGGUUGGAGGAUCCAACCGGGAUAAAAGGGACACCCUUUUAUCCCGGUUGGAGGCACCAACCGGGACUAACCCUUUUAUCCCGGUUGGUGCCUCCAACCGGGAUAAAAGGGUGUCCCUUUUAUCCCGGUUGGAUCCUCCAACCGGGAUAAAAGGGUCCCGCCACCGACGGCCCCCGCUAGCCGUUGCAACCGGGACUAAAGGGGGGCCUUUAGUCCCGGUUGCAAUUACCAACCGGGACUAAUGCUCCCCUCCAAAUUCCCGCACCCCGGCGCACCCCCUUUUGUCCCGGGCCACUUUUAAACCGGGAUAAAAGGGGGUUGAUCGAAAGUCAGUUCUCUACUAGUGAUCGGUGACUCCGCUCGAGGAGAAUUGUUUAUAUCAAGCAUAGAAAUGACAACGUUGGAAGUGGAGGAUAUAUUUUGCUCUGUUGAUUUAAUUGCCGCGAGAGUGGCGGACAAGUUCUAAUGAUUGAAGAUCAGAAGCGUCUCGUGGAGAAUUUUUCAGAAGCUAUAUUUGGAAUUAUUAUAUUAUCUCAGGAGCAGAUUAAAUAUAACGCCACCACUGAAAGCCGAUGAGAUGUAUCUAUCGGCUACAUGCUAUUCAGAUGAAUUUGAUGACAGAUUAAUUACGGAGGAGACCGACCGAUACAACAUUAUGGUUUCUUACUGCUGAUCUGUUAUGAAAGAGGAUGUGAGAAGCUGAUAAUCAAGCAACAAUAAAAUGAUAUACACGCAGGGCAUUAAAUAUUGAGUUAAUGAUUGGGAGUACUACCAUUAUCUUAUGAAAAGUCCAUCGGCUAACCAAACAGCGUCAGCCGAUGGAAGCAAAUAGUGUCAGCCGAUAGAAUGAUGUUAUAUAAGUAUAUAUAUCGGCCUCCGAGCCAAUGGGAAGUAGGAACUAUCAGCCGAUGCACACAUCCAUGGACAUAGCCGAUAAGACAUUGUAUCGGCUGCUUGGCAAAUAAAAAUAGCAUCGGCUGACCGCUUGUUAAAAUAUUAUCGGCCGAUUGCUUGGCAAAAUAGUAUUGGCUGACUGCUUGGCAAAUAAAAAAAUAAUAGGUUGACCAAAAAAGGAUAGCAUUGCCUGAUUGCUUGGCAAAUAAAAAAAAUUACGUCGGCUGAUUGGUUCCAGCAAAAUAGUAUCGGCUGCUUGUUGAUCAGAAAAAGCCGAUACUGUUACAGCUCCCGCAACUGUGCUUUGCUGUCAUCGGCUGGGUUGUUCGUGCUCCAUCUGCAAAUAUUUGUCCCGGCUAGAAAGUAUCGUACGUGCAUUGGGAUUCGGCAGUACAAAUCACGUACACGCGUAUGGUCUGCUCAGAAGCUGUCUGUUCGACGAAGUUCCAGGCCAAUGGUGGAGACUUGAUGACCAUGGUGACCUGCAUUAAUCAACAUGAAGUAUGUAUCGGCUGUUCGGUGAUUGGUAGCAAAUCAGCUUUCUCAUAGCCGGUGACAUAUGGGGCAAGAAAUAUCAGGCUUAAAAAAGGACAGUACGAUCAAUGUCGAAAGUUGUAGCCGACGGUUCUAUUAUUGUGCAGUCGAUGGAACAUAGAAGAUGCAUCUGAAUGAGCAAAAGGAAGGGAGCCGAUAGAAGGGAAUUUAAGUUGCAUGAGAUCCAAUUAAAUUAAGAUGACGAGAGGUGUUGACAUCGAAUCAUCGGACUUCUACGAAGUCUUCAUACUCCGAAACUAGGGAGUCUGUGUUAACACCAAAAUUUAGAAAUAUGCUGAUGCAAAAAAAUAAUGAAAUCUCCUAAAUAAGGCUCAAGAAAGAAAAAGCAAGAAAAGAAAAUCAAUCGCACGCGGCAAGAAUUGAAUAAAAUAUUCUAGAGGUAGAGUUGGUUAGGAUAAGCUUAAUUAGGGAUAGAGUUGGAUUAGUUAGAGAUAGUAUUUUGAUUAGAAAAGAUUGUGUACAUGACUUGUACGUGGUGCGUCAGAGGCCAUCCGCCCUAUAAAUAUAAGGGGUCGUGGCCAUUGUAAUUAUCAUCACACGAUCAAUAUACAACAUAUUUAUCUUUUACCUUUUCGGCUUCACGCCAUUGUAUUAGGAGUAGGAGUAAUGUAGCUUCCUGACGAGUUCCUUCUAGCAAGCUGUGCUGCAUUGACCUUGAUCUCUGGCGAGCUGCAAAGUUCCGUCACCAGGUGUUCUAGGCUUUAACCACCGGGCGCAUCGCUUGUGGUUUCGUCUAGUUUCAUCUACAAGGUAUCGAAUAUCAUGGAUCUUUAACUUACGCAUCGCUUCUGUCUUGAUCUACGGUAUUCACCAGUUAUCCUGCCUUGGUUAAGUCUGCAUCGGCUGAUAUUUAUCUGUUCUAUCAUCUUGCCGUUCAGUUUGCUUUAAUUAGCUUUAGAUCGGUUCAUUAUAGAUGAUAGAUCGCUUAAUAGCCUGUUGCAUCUUAAUCUUGGUUACCCCUUCAAGUGCUGUUGGGAUUAAGUUUCGUUAUGAUUGGAUUCAUCGGCUGGUGGGGUUGGUGGGGUUCAGAUUAACAUCGUGCUAAAUAUUUCUAGACUGCAACUACUGGACGCAUCGCUGUGGUUUCAUCUAGAGAUAUUGGUAGAGAGUUUAGUUUAGAUCUCAUCGGUUCGUGGCUCUAGCUAUGGUGGAGCGGCAGCUGAAUAGCAUCCUGUUUUCUAUCGGUCGCCUGGCCGAUAGUUAUUGCAAAAUAUAUUAAAUCGCCUGGAUGGCCGAUGGAUCACUCACGCUCGUCAAGGAUCAUAUCGGCCUGAUCGGCCAGUUGCCUCGGACUUCAAAGGAUUAUUUUCACCUUGUCAGUUGAAUGGUCAAACUGGCUGGCACGCCCGCGCACACCAUGCGCGCCGAUUUGGAUUUUGCACUGGAGUUAAGUAGAUCUUCCAGGUCCUCAUGUGGUGACGAAGGAUCCACCACCAUCAGGAUUUUGCGUCAACACAUUUUGGCACGCCCAGUGGGACACGGUUAUAAGGUUCAUAUUUUUAUUCAUAUAAAAAAGCAUCUUCGGCAUCAUCGGCCAAAUGAGUGUUCAUCGGCUUGUUAGAAUUAAUUCAAUAUAAUAUUUCAGCAAAAGCAGCCGAUGUAGCGAUUGGAGAUAAGGCCAAGUCAAGUCUGCGUGUAUACGCAUGUUCCGGUGGGAUCAUCUUCAUAAAUGCCAAUGACGAUUAGAGAUGAAGCUUCCUGCAAAAUGAUUGGCUACUCUAUCCGGGAAGAAUUGCUUUUUUAUGAGGCAUAUAUAGAGACCCAUGUUGCAAUUAGGGGGCGUAUUCGUGCAUUGGCUGAAAUAAAAAAAUGCAUCGGCAUAUUGAAAAUUGCAUCGGCCGAUUGACAGUCGUAUCAGCUGAUUGGAAAAAUAAAAAGGGAUCAGGGAUCCGCCGAUUGAAAAUUGCAUCAGCUGAUGGAAAAUGAGAGCAACAGUUACAAUAUUUUUUUUAAAAGAAAGCAAGUAUCGGCAAGCAGUAGCCGAUGGAUUUGUAUUUCAGCCAAUGGGGUUUUUGUUUCAGCUGAUAGUACUACUGGCUGAUGGCAAGUCCAAUGGAGUUAAAAUUGCAUUGACUGAUUGAAAUAAAAAUUAAGUAUCGGCUAAUUUAUGGCCAAGUAGCAUCUGCUGAUUUGUUGCAAAGUAGUUUCGGCUGAUUUAUGGCAAAAUAGAAUCGGCCGAUUUAUGGCAAAGAAGCCAAUAGACAAAAGCAUCGGCUGGUAGAGAAGCCGAUUGAGCAAGCAUCUGUUGAUGAGCUAUGUAUGGGAAAAAGUAUUGGCUGCUUAAACAAUUGACAAAAGCCAAUUGGUCAGACUGAGAAGCCAACUGGGAAAGCAUCGAUCGAUGGAUUGCGUAUGGGAGAGAGUAUCGGUUGAAGUCUUUAGUAUUGACUGCUAGAUAUUUGAGCAAGCGUCGGCCGAUUGACUGCUUGGUAAAAAAAACAUCGGGCUGAUUGCUUGGUUAAUAAAAAAAUUGCAUCGUUCAAGCAAAGAUUGCAUGGGCUGAUUGGUUCAAGCAGAAUAGUAUCGGUUGCUUAUAGAAUAUAUCGGAUAUUAAUUUCGAAGCAUGAAAAUAUUCAUACUCCGAAACUGGGGGGCCUGUGUUGACAACAAAAGCUUGCUGGUUACUGCAUCAAGUUUUGGUGUCAACAUACUUGAUCUUUUGUUUCCAUUGCCAGCGGAUUCAUCGGCUCAGAGUGGGAUCAAGACAUCAAGCUGAUGGAGUUCUUUAUAUUUCAAGAGGAGUCAUGGAGUUCUUUAUAUUUCAAGAGUAGUCGAUGGUGCUUUGAAUAUUGCAACCAGACGUCAUUGGCUCUAAAGAUACCGAAUCAUCGGACUUCUAUGAUCAGUUUCGGAACAUGAAGCCUUCAUACUACGAAACUGGGGGCCUGUGUUGACACCGAAUCAUCGGACUUCUAUAAUUAGUUUUGGAACAUGAAGCCUUCAUACUUCGAAACUGGGGGGCCUAUGUUAACACCAAAAUUUAGAAAUGUGCUCUGAAAGGAAGGUAUCGGCCGAUGAUGCAAAAAAAUAAUGAAAUCUCCUAAAUAAGGCUGAAGAAAGAAAAGCAAGAAAAGGAAAUCAACGCACACGGCAAGAAUUGAAUAAAAUAUUCUGGAGAUAGAGUUGGUUAGGAUAAGCUUGAUUAGAGAUAGAGUUGGAUUAUUUAGAGAUAGUAUUUUGAUUAGAAAAAAUUGUGUACAUGACUUGCCUUGUACGUGGUGCGUCAGAGGCCAUCCGCCCUAUAAAUAUAAGGGGUCGUGGCCAUUGUAAUUAUCAUCACACGAUCAAUAUACAACAUAUUUAUCUUUUACCUUUUCGGCUUCACGCCAUUGCAUUAGGAGUAGGAGUAAUGUAGCUUCUCGACGAGUUCCUUCUAGCAAGCUGGGCUGCAUCGACUUCGAUCUUCGGUGAGCUGCAAGUUCCGUCACCAGGUGUUCUAGGCUUUAACCACUGGGCGCAUCGCUGUGGUUUCGUCUAGUUUCUUCUACCAGUUACCGAGUAUCUUGGAUCUUUGACUUAUGGCACAUCGCUUCUGUCUCGAUCUACGGUAUUCACCAGUUAUCCCGCCUUGAUUAAGCUUGCAUCGGCUGAUAUGUAUCUGUUCUUUCAUCUUGCCGUUCAAUUUGCUUUAGUUAGCUUUAGAUCGGUUCAUCAUAGACAAUAGAUCAUUUAAUAGCAUGUUGCAUCUUGAUCUUAGCUAUCCUUCGAGUGUUGUUGGGAGUAAGUUCCGUUGUGAUUGGAUCCAUCAGCUAGCAGGGUUUAGAUUAACAUCCUGCUAAAUAUUUCUAGACUGCAACUACCGGGCACAUUGUUGUGGUUUCACCUAGAGAUAUUGGUGGUGACGUUAGUUUAGAUCUCAUCGGCUUGUGGCUCUAGCUAUGGCGGGGCAACAACUCAACAACAUCCUGUUUUCAAUCGACCGUCUAACUGAUAGCUAUUGUAAAUUAUAUUAAAUCGGCUGGAUGACGAUGAAUCACUCACAUUCAUCAAGGUACUGGAAUCGGCUUCACAGCCGAUAUAUUUGUCAUGAUUUAUUUUGUUGCACCAUUAUCGCUACUGUGCUAGGAUUAUAUCGGCCUAAUCGGCCAGUUUCCUCGGACUUCACAACGACUAUCAUCUCCUUGUCAGUUGAAUGGUCAAACUGACUGGCAUGCCCGCGCACACCACACGUGCCGAUUUGGAUUCUGCACUGGAAUUAAGCAGAUCUCCCAGGUUCUCAUGUGCUGAUGCAGGGUCCACCACCGCCAGGAUUUUGUGUCAACACCUUGUAAUCUUCCUUUGAUUUCCUCAAUGAUUCGAAGACAAUAACCUUGCUUGUAUAAAUGAUAAUUAUAAGGAGAACCUAGUGGAAACUGUGUAUUCAUAUUAGAACUACCUAUGGUUAAUUAGGUUAGGAAAGGAAAUCGAAAAUAGACCGUACCCACACUUACUUAAAGUUGUUGGGCAGUAGUAUGUAAUGCUUGUAAUUCUGUUACUCCAAGAAUUUGUAUAUGUGGUCCAAUGUAGACUUUGGUUGAUCCCAUAUCUGUUGUUGGUUAAAUAAGUGUUUCUGGCCAUUUCUAGCCGUUAGAACCGGAACUAAAGGGGGCUCUUUAGUACGGGUUGAUAUUACUAACCGGGACUGAAGAGCCCCCAUUACAGUUGGUUUUUGGACGCGGAACUAACAACUCCUUUAGUCCCGAGUCCAAAAACGACUGAGAUAGAAGAUCCUUUCUCUACCGUGAAUAUUGCCAGAAAGAAUUGAAAGAGACCGCUUGCUAAAAAUAUGUCAUAGAUGUAGACCAAGCUACCAAGGAGGUAGACCAAACAUGAUACACACCAUGCGUACCUUGCUGUGCAGACUAUGCAUAGACAAGACACCCGACCACAUGUUGGCCUCGGUCACAUCAAAAGAAUCAUGUAGGCCACCAAUAAACUACUUGAAGCGUCAUUCCGUAUCGUAUAUGCAUUGCCGGUUCAUCUGCAUUACAUUACAUAAAGUAGUAUUAACUAUUUGAAUAAAAUGAACCAAUUUAAAAGUAAUGUGUUGUACUCUACUAUAGAAAGCCCUAUCACUGUCGGAUCCAGAAACAUCAUUGUUGAUGGUCGUUAAGUACCAAGACGGUCAAUAUUCUCAAGAAUAAUGGAGAAUUGGCAUUUCUUACACACAUAUUUGGUUUUGAACAAUGUAGUCCCACAUGUCCUUGGAGAUUAUUUGGGUGUGGGUGAAAUAAUACAAAAAGAAGGAGAAAACACACUCCCAUGGUGAAGAAACAAAACUCCGACCAAUGAGAGAUAGCCACAGGGGCAGCACACGGAUCCAUGGGCCCACAAACCGCAUCAAACUGUCUUACCAAGGCGGGUAGCACCCACAACCAUGAUUAGGACCCACCUGGAUGUCUACCAAGAAGAAGGUUGUGAGUGGGGCCAGGAGGGGUUCGGCUGAAUCAUCUCUAGCUCCCCUCAUCCCCAGCUGGUGCAUGGCGGUGGUUAAUGGUGUCCCUACAUCGGUUAGAGGAGAUUCCCCCAAAUAUUCCUCCUGUAAACCACCUGUAUGGACCUAUACAUAGAGGGGUGUGCUCUCCAAUCCAACACACACCACAAGUUUAAUCACUCUCUCCCUCUUUAAUUUCCAUGUUUAUGGAGUUAGCCUAGAGUAGCUCUGCUCAAGGUUCCAAGUCCACUUGGAGUUAAGCAUAUGUCUCUUGUAUCGUUAUUUCCCAGAUUGACUUUAUGCUUAGUUCUUAUAUGCAUGAGUUAGUCUAAUAGCCUUGCUCUAUUGAUAUGCUCGGCUUAUAUGCUCGUAUGCUAGUCAUAUACCCUUGCUGCCGUAGUAUAGGCUUAUAUGCUCUCAUGUGUGCCUUUAGACCUUGCUACAAUAUAUACUUGUUGUGUAUACAUACCAUGUAUAGGCUAGUCGAUCUAUACCAUGGCAUUGGUUCAAUAGCCAUGUUUUUGGUGGCUCCAACCCUAGUCAGAAUAGCUCGGGACAGCUAGAGUGUUGUUAAAAAUGCAAGAGUGAUGGUUGGGUUGUUUAGCAUCGUUGGAUAUGGGUUUUCCCCACGGGUUUCUAAGAGUAGGCGGCAGCUAGUGACAGCCCUGUCCGUCCUUCGUAAUCCCCCCACAUUCAAGUACGCCAUAGAAGUUCAUAAAUUAGCAGUAACUACACCGGCAGACCGGUAGGGUAUUGUCUCCCUAUAGUACCUUGGUGCAUAGAACUAGGUCAUAUACACUGUGUGUCUAUGUUUACGCUGAUAUGAUCUGUGCAGUAUAUAGCAUGUAUAUAUGAACCUAGAGCUAACUCCUAGUCCAUUCUCCGUAGCUUAGUUAUCUUGAGAUGAUUCUUCUGUGUGUGUAACACUACCCAUCUUAUCAUUAUCCUUAAUCCUGUCUUGUGUAAUAUAUCUACUCAUCCUAUGAUAUACUCAUAUGCAUAGUAAACUAUUUUGACCUACCCGCCUUCCUUUGGGAAAUACGAUACCCUGGAAUAAUCCUAGGUGAAAUGCUACAACGGUAUAUCCAUGUGCUUACGGAAUUAUUCCUGACCAUUAAAUAUACCAACAAUCAUCACUAUCUAUUUUGGGCAUCGUUAGUGAAGGGUCGGCAGUGAUGGGCAUCCCCUUCACCAAUGGAGCUGGAACUGGCGGUGAUGGCCAUUAAAAAAAAUGGGACCCCACCCAGCGUACCCCGCAACCCGGCCGGCUGCGCCUCCCAUCAUCCCCGCCGGUCGCCCUUCCUCUUUGCCGGCCGAGCAUGGUUCCGGCCCUCGUCCCUACCGCCUCGCCUCCAUCGCGACCCCCUGCCGAUGCCCUCAUGCCUGGCCCCCCUCGUCUGGCCGGCCACCCUCCCGAUGCAUCCACCGGGGCCCUCGCACCACCAACCACCCUAGCCUAGAGAGAGAGAGGAGGAGGGAGGUGAGGCCACGCACCUCGUCCUACAACGCCGCUGUUGCUCCUCGGCCCACCGCGCCUCACCCCACACCACAGCCGCACCUCGCCAUCUUACCGGCCGCGACGCCCCAUCUCACCGGCCACCGUUCCUCACCCCCACAUCGGUCAUCGCUGCUCCUUGCCCUACUGCUGCUCUUUGCAGCCGCGAAUGAGGGGCGAGUGGAGGGGGAGGGGCGGGGCAGGAGGAGGGCAAGAUCCGGGAGGAAGGGAGAGAUUUUGGGAGGUGGAGAUGGAAGGAUAUGGCGGAAGGUAGAGAUCUAGAGGGAGAGAGCGGGGGGGAGAGGGGGGCAUGUGGGGAGAGAGCGCAUGUGGGGUGGGGCCGGGCUGGUGGGAUGGAAGGUAGAGGGGCCGGAGGGCGCAGUGCAUUCAACUGGAUUAAGUAAAUAUUUCGGAUUCGAGACCCCAGCUUUAUUAUCACCGCUGGUCCGUAGUACCAUUCGGUGCCGGCUCAUAAUUUAAUUUGAACCGGUGGUGAUGUUUUAUUAUCACUGCUGGUUUCAAUUUUCACCAUCGGAUCAUAUAAAAAUCCGGCGGUUAAAAAUCCGCUGGUUUCGAUGAAAACCGACAGUGAUAGGACGACUGUGAUAGUCUCUUCUCUAGUAGUAGUAUAUUAGUACCGGCUGCCGGAUGGUGUUGCCGACGAGUACUUCUCCAGGGGCGAUUCAGUACUGAUGUUAGCAAAGCUUGUUCUCUAUGAAUUUGGGGAUGGAAAGCUAGUUCUCUAGUUGUGAUUUGUUACAUAUAUCUCUAUGAUAGUCUAGAAAUUGCAUGUCCUUCGUUGACAUAGUUGAAGCUGCUUCAAGAAUUUACUUCGUGCAGUCGUGCAGCAUAUUGGAUUAUCACCUAGACAGGAUACAUAGGUGAAGCAUUGCAUGUGAUUGUGGCUGAUAAUUAUGCAGGACGCUGUUGCAAUCAACCAUCAAGAAGACUGGAGCGAUGGGGUUGCCUCAUCAACAAUUUUUAUAUAUGGCUGCAGUAUUAUUAAGCCCACGUCAAUAAUUUUUUCUCCGCAGCAUAUAUAUGGUUACUCAGUUCGCUGGAGUAUCGCUGUGGAAAAACAUACGUACUGCGCCUCGGAACUAACUGGCAUUCAGGCCAUCAACGACCAGAUAUUUGGGACAACCAACAAAUAGUAGGUGGUUCCUAAGUUGUAGUCGUAUGUACUAAUGCGCCUCGAUGGGGUUUUCUUCAGAUAUUUUAUUGCCGUUCAAUGAACAAGCAGAUACAUAACCUGUGCAGAAAAUUCCAUCUCCACGCAUGCCACUGCACCAACAAGAUCCUCAGUCGACGAUGAUGGCUCAGCCUGUUCCUUCUGCCACCAAAUCCUCAAUCUUCCCUCCAGCAACGGAGAAUGCACCUUUAGUACCUUCAGUAUCAGAUGUUGCAAUCGGUACCGUGAAACCGAGACUAAAAUCCUUACUUUGCAGGGGGCAAAACAAUCUUGCAAAUAUAUAUUUUGAAUUCCAACAAAAUUUAAGAAAUGUUAAAGAUGACUAGCUGAGAGUCAACAGACAAGAUAUGAUAUUAGGAAUGUGGGAGGAUGAAUGCAUUUGUACAGGGGUCAUACUAUUUCCAGACUCUUCUAUAUUUCCAUAUGACUACCUACUUCAAUGUCACGCGAGCCAUUCAAAAAGAUACAUGGUACACUUGUAUGUCUAAUCCAUUAUUGAUUAUUUCCUCUUGUCAUCUCUUACAAGUAUUUCUCCAUACUAUAGAAACGUGCAACACAUUUUUAGGAUAUGGACACGCAUGAUUAAUAUGCUUGGACUAGUAUACAGGUCAUCUUUGGAUGAGUACAUAUGAAUGCCAGGGAGGGACUGAUGGAUAUAAGGAAAAGGGACCAUGCAUAAAUAAUGACAUAUGUAACAUGGCAAUCUUCAUUGCCAUGCAACUCCUAUCAACAAUCAUGGAAUACAUACUACUGCUCCAGAAGGGUGGUGUGCAAAUUUAUUUUACCUCGCGGUGAAAAUCUCCAGAGCAGGCCUGAAGUUAAAAUAAGAGGCAGUCACUAUCGAUCAUGACAGUCUCGAAACUGUACAGCACUAUGCUAGUCCUAGUCCUCAUGUCGUUCGUGCUGUCGUGUAGCAUGAUGGAUUAUUAACUGGGCAGGACACGGAGAUGGCUAGCGAUGACAGAGGAUGACGUACAUGAUAUUCACCUCUGAAAUGAAGCGUAGGCUAAUGAAGCACAAUUGCAUGUGAGUGUGGCAGAUAUUUAUACAGGACAGUGAUUGCAAUAAUCGACCAUCGAGAUCGAAGACAGGGGCGAUGGGGUUGCCUCAUCAAUAAUUCGCGCAACCAGACAAGCUGCAGACUCAAUAUGGUACGAAGCUAUUUGGUCAGCCCACAUGCUCUGAUAUAACAUUGGCAUCUGCUGAUCUACAGUAUAUAUGACCAGAAAUAUUGUGCCACCUCAAUAAUUUUCCGAAGUAUCGUUGGGGAAGCACCUACAUACUAUGCCUCGGAACUAACUGACAUGUUGGCCUAGGCGGUCCAGGCCGAUUGGACAGGCUCUUCCUUAUGGCUCCUCACGUCCCCUUCGUUUCCGAGUAAUCUCAGGUGUUCUGAAGUUUUCUUUUCACUUGCAUGUGGACCUUAUAUAUCAAUAGCUUCGGGAUAAGAAUGCCUCUUGAUAACCUUCCAAAUCGUCGCUUGAUUCACUUUGAUUCCAAAAUCAUCUUGCCAUAUCUUUUGAGACUUAGGCCCUAAGGCAUCAUGGAGGAUUGCUCGCCAAGAAUGAGCACCAUUGGGCUCCUGAGGACCCUAGGCCGAUCAGCCUGGGCUCUAUAGGUUGAUUGGCCCAGGCCCUCUCUGGGCCCAUUGGCCUUCAUCUUUCUCUGAGUCGACGCUUAUUGAGGGCUUUGUCCAAUUAUAGUCCAUUAUAGUCUAAUUUCCAAAAAAAUAGAAUAUCCUCCAAAAUACAAUACAUUUGUGAAAACAGCCCAAUUAUUAGGUAUGAUCAAUAGUCUAGGUAUUAAAUUAAUGUUAUUAUUUAAGAUAAAUAGGGAUAAAGGGUGUCAUUAAUAACGAGCACCAACCAGCGUACCAGCUGUUAACACUAACCGAUGCUAAUAUGUACCCUUUAGUACCGGCUAUUUCACCCGGUACUAAACGAGACAAGAGCACCCUAACAGAGGUUAAUACCAUCCAUUUCAUGAGUAAAAUACUAUGAUUCAAAAAUAAUUCAAAUCCCUUAAGACAAUACCUAUCAAAUGAGUAGAUUGUAAAUAGAGUAAAACAAUGUCCUAAUGAAACGGAACACUUCUGGUUCGUGUAGAGCACAAUAUAGAAAACAGUAGGGUAGCUGUACGAUUGACACGUGGUCCAUUAAUUAUUGAGCCAUCACUAUGGACAUGUCUUCAUGAGUAGUGUACUAGUCAUGACACAUGGUAUGUAGUAGGUGGAGGUAUUGAGUUAGCCAUGCCAUGAGCACUUAGUUACAACAAACACUUUGCCAUUAUCGAGCAUCCCAAAUCACUACAAAAUCCAUAGUUUACCAUAUACUACAAAAUCUGAGUUAAAAUAAGAGCAUACACGGAAGAGUCCGAAUGCACCGGUUUAGGACCAGGCACAUUGAAUUACUAGAAAAAGUUAUCGGACAAGGUUUUGGGUAACCGCAUGAAAAAUGUUGGAUUUUACUGAACACUUAGUUACAAUUACCAUGCCGUGAGCACUUAGUCACCACAAACAUUUAACCACUUUAGAUCAUCCUGAAUCCCUAUAAAUUCUGUACCUUACACCGUACCAUGAAAACGACAAGAACAGAGACAGAUGCAGUGAAAAUCUCCAGAGCAGGCCUGAAAUUAAAAUAAGAGGAGGCAGUCUCUAUCGAUCAGGACACGGAGAUUGCUAGCCAUGACAGAGGAAGACAUGAUAUGAUAUUCACCUCUGAAAUGCAGCGUAGACUAAUGAAGCACAAUUGCAUGUGAGUGUGGCAGAUAAUGGACCAUCGAGACCAUCGAAUGGUAUGAAGCAUGAUUAUCACCUAGACAUGAUAUCCUAGACAGGACGGUGAAUUGUAAAAAGAGUAAUCUUGAUCAAAGAAUGUCCUAAUGAAACGGAACAUUUUUGGUACGUGUAGAGCACAAUAUAGAAAACAGUAGAGUAGUUGUACGAUUGAAACUGCAUCCAUCCACGUGGUCCAUGAAUUGUUGAGCCAACACUGUGGACAUGUCUUCAUGAACACCAUCUAGUGAGGACAGGAUGCAGAAAAAUAUAAAAACAUGUCAUAGGGAGGCAGACCAAUCUUGCAAGGAGGUAAACGAAACGUGAUACACGAUCUGCCUACCUUGUCGUGGAUACCCCAAGAGAAGAUGUCAUAGAGGUGCAGACCAAGCUAGCAAGGAGGUAGAUGAAACGUGAUACACGGCCUGCCUACCUUGCCGUGGAUAUUAGCCCUGAUAUCAUUCUAUUGUUCAAGGAAUAACACUCAAUGCUGCUGCUGCUGCUGACCUGGCUCCAUAAAGUUGUAUUCCUCUAGCCGCUUGCACUAACUUUAUCUGAAGUAUUAUUCUCUCUGCCCUGAUAUCUGAAGUAUUAUUCUCUCUGCUGACUUUGCUGAAGAACCUACAUAAUAUGUCUUGGAACUAACUGACAUUGAUUCACAGACAAACUCUACAAGGUGCUGUUGUUGCCAUAUUUUAGAGCAUCCCAAAGGACUAUAAAUAAUAUAGUUUACCAUAUACCGUAUACCAUUAUAUGUUAGCUAAAAUAAGAGCAUAACAUGUCGCAGGAGUCCAAAAGCACCGGUUGAGGACCAGGUACAUUGAAUUACUAGAAAAAGACAGGGGGCAAUGUUUAGGUAGCCACAUGAAAAACAUUUGAAUUUACUGUUCCAUGAACACUUAGUUACCAUGCCGGGAGCACCUAGUUAACACUAAAAUUUAGCCACUUUAGAUCAUCCCGAAACACCCUCAAUAGCGACAAAUUUUGAUUUAAAUGCCGUCACCAAUGAUCCUCAAUAGCGACGUGUUUAGGUUUAAAUCCCGUCACUAAUAACCCUUGGUAGUGACGUGUUUUGGUUUAAAUCUCAUCCCACUGAUCCUCAAUAGUGACGUGUUUUUAGCAACACACGCUAUGAAUGACUUGUCAUUGGUGACAUGUUAAAUGCGUUAUCUCAAUGGCAAAUCAUUGGUGACGUGUUUUAAAAAAACAUGUCACUGUGAGAGUUAUUGGUGAAGGGUAAUUAAAAUGCAUCACUAAUUUUGUAGCAUUAGUUAUGAUAUAAUUUAGUAACGCAAAAAUCUACCAUCAGUAAUGAGGUUUAGAGCCGUCGCUAAUGUGGGUUUCUUACGAGUGAUGCAAGCUCUACAAGGUGCUGUUGUUGCCAUUUUAAAGCAUCCCAAGUGACUACAAGUUAAUAGCAUAGUUUACCAUAUACCAUAAAAAUAUUAGUUACAAUAAGCACAUCCGCAUGUGGAAGAGUCCGAAUGCACCAGUUGAGGACUAAACACAUUGAAUUACUAGAACCAAAUGUAAGACAAAGAAAGGGGUCAAGGUUUGGGUAACCGCAUUAAAAACAUUGGAUUUUACUGUACCAUGAACACUUAGUUACCAUUACCAUACCUUGAGCAUCUAGUUACCACAAACAAUAAUUUAGCCACUUUAGAGGUUCCAGAAUCACUAUAAAUAAUAUACCAACACCGUACCAUGAAAACAUCAAGAAGAGAGACGGGUACAUGGACCACCAUCAAGUGAGUAGUGACAGCACGCACAAGAAUACCCGGAACCUGUUAGCUUGUCUGUAGUGAUCUGUUUUCUUCCCCAUAAAAUCCAUGAGUAUUGCCACAAAUAAUGAAAGAGGCUGACCAAGCUAACAAGGAGGUAGAGAAAACGUGAUACACGUAGGUUUCAUUCAAGACAUCCAUGUAAGAUUCAUUCAAAACAUUCAUGGAAAUUUCUUGUAAGUUUUCAUGUAAAUUUCAUUCAAGACAUUUGUUAGAGGUGUUGUAUAUAUAUACCUUAACGUACAUAUAUCUAUGAUUUCAUGGUUGUUAGUGAUGGCAGAUGAGGAGCAUGCAAGGUAUUUAAUGGAGCAGAUUAUUGCUAGUGGUAGUGGCUCCAACCUGCCCGUAACGUACACCAACGAAGAGAGCAGCCAGGCGGACAUGUUCCUCAACAUAUCCGGUGAUGGCAAUGAAGAGCCCGAGCAAAACCUUGCCGUGACGGAAGGUUCCAGUGAGGUAUAUAUCAUUUCCAUUGUUUUACCCCAUCUAUAAUUUCAUAUUCAUUAUUACUAUGUACUAAUUAAUGGAUCUUGAACCAUUAGCCCUCUAGAUCAACGAACCGAAAUAAGCCCCGAGGUCUUACAAAGAUAAUGCAGGGAAGGCAUCACAUCACGGAAGUCACAGAAGAGGGCACAUCAGUUGCUCCCGAACAUGUGGCAAGAAAGUACGUGAGUCAAACCGGGCAAUGUGCCCAUCAGCAUUAGGGAAUGAAAGGGCAAUAGAAAUGAUCUAUACACGCCCCCGGAUACACAAAAGGAUAUGCUGUGGGCAAAUAUCAAGAAACACUUCACAUUUCCCAAAGGAUAUGUUGAAAAAGAUGUGAAAGCGUGGAUGCUGAAGAAGAUGGUCACCGAAUUCCAGACAUUCAAGAAGAUGUUGGAUGUCAACUUCAUCAAGAAGGGUCGAACUCCGGGUUUCGAUGAGUGGCCAAAGUUAAGGGACCACUGGGAGUCAUUUGUCAAAUACAAGACGAGUGAAGGUGGUGCGAGUAAGGUUCGCAUCAAUGUUGCCAAUGCUAGCAAGGAGUACCAUCAUCAUCUAGGGCGACGUGGUUACAGCACUGCAAUUCCCAGAUGGCGCAAGAUGGAACAAGACCUGAUCGAUCGGGGUAUCGUACCAGCAACUCCUGACUGGCCUGAUCGAUUGAAAAAUUGGUAUUAUGCUCAUGAAGGCAAUCUGAGCCAACAGGAUGCGACAUUGGUCUUCAAUAAAACAAUACGUCAGAAGGCCGGAAGGCUUAUUAGGAACAUUGAAAAUGCUAAAUCUGGGAGGUUCAAGGUGGAUAGAGAGAAUGAUGAGCUCACAUUGGCCCUUGGGACUAUCAUCUCUAGCAUUUCCAGCUCCAGGACUGUCGUCACCACCGGGACCGUCGCUUCUUGCUCGAUCACAGUCUCCAUCUCCAGCACAUCCUGGUGGUGCGAACGAUGACGACAACAACACCCCUCCCUGCCCACCAUCGCCGGGACUAAGACCCGCAUCGAGUAAGGAACCUGCAGCACCACUGAAGAAGUCGCGACCACCGCCUUCCAAGCCAAGUCAGCAAAAGAAGAAAGCAGAGAAGCCUAAGCCCACUGAGAAGCCAACAACCGAUAUGACCGAUGCGGAAAGAUGGAAGGCACUCAAAGAAGAAUGCAGGGAGUGGUUCUGUAAAAAGAACCAAAGAAAGAAAAGGAAAGCAGAUGGAGCCACCGCCAGUAGAUCCAAGAAAAUUAUAAUUUUUUAUUAAGAUGUCAAAAGGAGCCAAGAAGAUGAUUCCACAACUAUCAAACUACGACCGGGCGUUAGUCAAGGCUGAUGAGAGUUAAAAAAGGAAAGGAAAGUCAUCUUCAAGUGGUACUGUCCCCCACCUCGAGGAUCUACCAGAAAAAGACGCUAAAAAGAUAGUAGCAAUGCUCUUGGAUCAACAAACACAUAUAUCAUGAGAUUCAUGCAAGAAACAGGUAUGUGCCUUGCUGAAUGUCUAGGGCAAGUUGAUAUGCUAGCUCUAGAGCCAUUUGUACCGAAAUGGACCUUUGAGCUAGGCAAGCCUCUAGUAAGGCCUGAGCUGGUACAGAAGCUAUCCACAUAGCUAUAUGAAUACCAUGAAUGGUACAUGAAGCAGUCUGCCAAUGAGAGGAAAAUGUUCGGUCUCAGGGAAAAACUGAUAUUUUUUUUCGGCGAAGGCGAGAAAGUCUUGUGAUGGAAUUCAAGGAUAUAUAUGAAGUGUACCAUCAGGAUGCCCUUGAUGUCUCUCUCAUCAGCGCCUAGGUUAUGUAAGUGUAUGUUUAUCUAUACGUAAUUUUUGUCUCAUAUCAUUAUUUCUUUUGCGUGCGUCACCCUACUAACUUCGUCUUCCAUUUUAUGUAGGAUGCUAAUUCAGAUGUGCCGCAUAGAAGCGCACUUCCAUGUUGGCUUCAUGGAUCCAUCCCUAGUUAACCAAAAGCAGAUACGGAAGUAGCUAGAGAAAAUGUUGGAGGUGGUAUACAACUUCCUGGACAAACAAAACUAUAGAAUAGGGGCAAUAUGUGAAGGUCUUGUAGGAUUCCUAGUGGACAAGGUGAUAAAUCCAUAAGGAGAAUAUCAUUACAACGGACGAGCAUUAGACACACUGAGCAACACCUAGACGGGAGGAUCCUAGGAAUGACCUAGACAGAUUUUGGUAUAAAUAGUAAUUGUGUAAAUACUAGUUUGAUUUGUAUAGGAAUAUACUAAGAAUUGUAUAUAUAGUAAUUGUACAAAUACUAGUUUGAUUUGUAUAAAUACUAGAUUGAUUUUAUUAUAAAAAAGUUUUAAGUCGUACGUGCAUGCGCCUACAAAGGCGCGUAUGCCCUUUAAUCCCGGUUGGAAAAACAAACCGGUACUAAAGGGGCUCGUGCCGCACCUGGCAUGACCGCCCCUUUAGUCCCGGUUGAACGACCCAGGACCAAAGAUCUGCCCCGUCUCAUAAAUUUUAUCCUGGAUGCUUUUUAGAGAGAUUUGAGGCCUAUCAACCAAGACUAAUAUCGAGUUUUCUACCAGUGGAACUAACUAACGUUCACAUGCUUCUGACAUUCACCUGCCAUUUGGUGUAGACAAGGGCACCCUAACAUAUGGUUAAUAUUAUUCAUGAAAGAAAAUCCUUUGAUUCAAAAAUACUUCAAACCUAAUAAUACAAUACUUCUCACAUCUGAAAAAUAUGAGAUGGCCCGACAGUAUUCUAACCGACGCAAUAAUAUUUUGAGGGCAGCACUACUACAGCGACCCUCAUUCGUGCCGGUGCUGGAACCCCUAUCACGACCCUGAUACAAAUGAGGGUACAUUAUUGUUGCCAGUGCUAGAAUAGCCACGAAUAACUUGCUAAACAUGCUGUUACACUCACUACUAGAAAAAUAACCUCUCGUCCUGAGGCUUAGUACCGGUCACUUUUUUGCCCAGUACUAAUGUUAGUAUUAGUACCGGAUCCAAAUUUGGGAUCCCCCAGAGACCCUUUAGUACCAGGUGGAGUCUCCACCCGAUACUAAAGGCUUUGUUACCGGGUGAAGGAUCCUCCCGGUACUAAUGGGGGAUUUUUAGUACCGGGUGGGAACCCCACCCGAAACUAAAAUCUCCCAUGCGGACCCCUCCCCCCCCCACGCGUUGCCUCUGUCCUCCCUCCUCCUCCUCUGAGUAGUUAUCCCUUCCUCAUCCCUCCUCCUCCUCCCACACGUGGGGUGAGGUGAGGUGGCAGUAGCAACGACAGGUGGUGUGGCGGGUCACGGCGGGCCGGAUGCGGAGCCGCAACGGUGGUCGGCGGGAUGGGGUGGGGCAGAGCGGCAUGGCAGGGCGGAGCGGUGGGACGGGGCCGAGGUGGAGGUGCCGGGCGGAGGUGGAGUGGCAGGACAGAGGCGGAGGCGGAGCGGCGGGUCGGCGAGCGGGUGGAGGGUGGCGACGAUGGGGCGGGCAGAGGCAGAGGGGUGGGUGGAGGGGCGGCGUGGUCCACCGGCGGGGGGGGGGGGGGGAGAGGGAGGCGUGGGGGGUGCGGUUGGUGAUUUCAAUUUUCUUUUAAUUUUUUAACACCCUUCAGUACCAGUUAUUUUAACCGGGUCUAAAGGGAUCCCCUCUUGUACCGAAUUGCUAGUACAGGAUGCACAACCGGUACUAGAGGGAGGUUCCCAACCGGUACUAGAGCCACUUUCCCCGGUAGUGACUUUUUCACCGAUUAGAAUAUGUUAUUAUUCUAAUCAGCUUUUGUUGAUCUCCUGUAUAAUUUAGUACCUAAUUCUACUAGCAAUUGUUAACGCCGACACGUAUUGGGUAUAGUCCUAACAGUGUCUAACUAGGGCACUACAUUUGUUAACCUAUAACUACUGGUAUCGAUUAGCCCUGGUUAGAAUACUGUCAAGGCAGCCAGAAAAAAUUGUUUGCCAAUUCUGCUAUCCAUCAGAACCAUGACUAGUACCGUAUUGUAAUAAACGAAUUACACAAAUAACUGAUGCACACAAAGGAAUAUGCACUCGCAUGUGCUAGACGUUCGUAGCAACAACAAAUUACUCUCAUCAUCAAUUAAACAUAAUAGAUUAAACAUUAACUGAACAUAGUUCAACACGUACAUCAACAAGACAAAGCAGUUUAAACAUCAACUGAACAGAACUGAAAACAUACAUCAACUGAUGAUAAACUUCGACAUGAACACAACACAUAAACAUCAACUUCAAUAGAACUUAAUAGAGCAUAUUAAACAACAACAUCGACAAAACAUAUAAACCCAGCUCAGUAGCUCAAGCAUCAACUAAAACUGCUGAAUUAAAAUAACAUAACAUAGUGUAGUUCAUCAUGAUGAUAACUAACAGAACCGAAAAGCCUAACUGGGUAAAAGAGCAAUUCAUUCAUAAUGCUUCAGCACUUACAUCACCGGAGUAUGCAACUGGCGGCGUCGCUUACGUCACUAUCACCGCGCUUGGCGAGUAAAGGAGGAGGAGGUGGCAUAGUAAUCGAAGAGGAGGCCGCUGUCGGCGGGUUUAGACUACGUGGAGGUGUGGGUAGGGUUAAGGUGGCUCUGUGGACGAGUAUAUAUAAGAGGUCUGGGCUUGUUAGAAUAAGAUAACAUUCUAACUGGCCAAAUUCGGAUCCGGUUAGAAUAAAUUGUUCUAACCAGCCUUAAUUCGAGGUGGUAAGGAUAAGUUAACAUUCUAAUCAGCUCUAUUUGGAGCCCGAUUGAAUGUUCUUGUUAUUCAAAAAAAGAUCAAGUUCAUCAAUUUUUUUCUAGAAAAACAUCAAGAUAAUUUAAACACGAUAUAUAACAAGAUUAAUACAUUUAAAAAUUGUUUUCUCCAAUAAUUAACGAUAUUUAACAAAUUCAAAAAAAAUCCAAAUUAACAGAACAUAAUAACCAAUUGUUCGAAAAAAUCAAAAUAGUCCACACAGUAUCAUAUUACAAAUUCAGAAAAAUAUCAAAAUAAUCCCUGAUCCACUCGAUACCGUCGUAGAACUUUGAAAUACUGAGCUUCUUGAUUCAUCUGAGGUCCACGUACUCGUCUCAGUAACACUAGUGGUGGCCAUGCAUCUUGUAGAUGUCUUCUAAUGAAUUAAGCUUGACAUACAAGGUCGUGCCUUCCACUCCUUGAGGAUUGCUUAUGACGUUUCUGCAAAUAACGAAGCAUUGCUUUCUCCAACAUGAUUAUUUUCUUCGGCUUAUCCCAAGGGACAACUAUGGUUUUCCCCUUGCCGGAAGAGGAACGAUGAUCGCCCCCACCAUCGCCACUUCCUCCAGUAGCAGAAGCCAUCUAUGUACAAAAAUUCAUACCUUAGCACUACAGAACUUGUUGAACUUGAAGACUGUGAUCAUUAGGCGAGCAUGUUCUCAACUAGGUGGCACCGCACUUCGUCAUGGAAGAGCUUCGAUUUUACAAAAAAGGGGACAUGAUCUUCCAUGAUGUCCGUAUCCGCUCUUUCUCGUAGAAUCAGAGCUCCUCCUUGAUAUACGAUGCUGCUCGGCGGAGAACAUGCUCACCGAGAUGAACACGGUAUGCAAGUUCAACAAGUAUGGAUUUGAAAAACCAUAUUGAAUUUGACAAGACAAACUAUCUAGAUAAGCGUAGCAUCAUUCUUAAACCACUGCAAGGAUACGUACUAUAUAUGACACAUCAAUCUCCCUCACAUUCUAGCUCAAAAUACCUCUCCAUUUUCUACUUCACAUUCUAGCAAAUAAACUAUCUAUCUCCAUUCUACACAUCAAGUUGUUUUAACUAAUACAAAUCGUAUAUAACAAGCAAAAUAUCCAUCACAUUCUAGCUCAAAAACAUGUAUAAAUACAAAUCCUCUUCAUUCUCCCUUUUUCUAACAAACAAACUCAUUUUUCUCCCUCUCCAAAGCAUAAAUUAAAGCGUAACAUGAGGAUGAGGUAGCAAACCUUCACAACACAUUGGAUGAGUGAAAUUCCCACGAAAAUGAGGGAAAAAAAUUCGGGCAGCACCUCCCUUGCUUCGGCACCUCUAGAGAGUAGGUGAAGCUCAGUUCUCUAUUUUUGUGGUGGACUAGCUUGGGCUGGAGGAGGAAGAAAGGCCUCUGUCUUGGUAUAUAAUGGGGGAUGAGUUUUUAUCCCAGUUAAAAGCUCCAACUGAGACAAAACGGCCAAUCUUUUGUCCCGGUUGGAGCCUCCAACCGGGACAAAAGGGGCACGCCAUCGACGCACGGGAGCUAGCCGUUACAACCGGGACUAAAGGGGGGCCUUUAGUCCCGGUUGCAAAUACCAACUGGGAUUAAAUCUCCCCUCCAUUUUUGCCUACCGUGGUGCGCCCCCUUUUAUCCCGGGUCAACUUUAAACCGGGACAAAAGGGGGCGUCGAAGAUCAGUUCUCUACUAGUGACCCCUCCCCACCUAUCUCUCUCCCUCCAUGCUCCUCGAUCUGUGCCUCCCCUCCCCUCCCCUUCCACUCGCCCCUCACCGACGGUAAGGAGCAGCGGCGGGGCGAGGUGAGGUGGCAGCAGCAAUGGCAGGUGGUGGGUCGCAGCGGAGCGGCUACGGUAGGCAGCCGGACGGGGCAGAGCGGCGGGGCGGGGUGGAGGCGGAGGUGGCGGGUAGAGGCGGAGCGGCGAGGCGGAGGCGGAGGUGGAGGCGGAGUGGUGGGACGGCAGGGCCGGGCGACUAGUAUAGGUGGGCGGGCGGAGGGCGGCGACGGCGGAGCGGGCGGAGGCAGAGGGGCAGCGGGGGCCGCCGGCGGGGGGUGUGAUCGGGGAUUUCAAUUUUUUUUAAAUUUUUUAACACCUUUUAGUCCAACUGGUUCUAAAGGGACCCCUCUAGUAUCAAAAUUGCUAGUACCGGUUGCACAACCGGUACCAGAAGUGGUUCCUAACUGGUACUAGAGCCACUUUCCCUGGUAGAGACUUUUUUACCAGUUAGAAUAUGUUAUUAUUUUAAUCAGCUUUCGCUGAUCGCCAGUAUGAUUUAGUACCUAAUUUUACUGGCGAUUGUUACCGCUGACACGGAUUGGGUAUAGUCCUAACAGUGUAUAACUACGGCACUACAUUUGUUAACCUAUAACUACUUGUAUCGAUUAGCCCUGGUUAGAAUACUGUCAAGGCAGCCAGAAUUUUUUUUUUUUGCCAAUUCUGCUAUCCAUGAGAUCCAUGACUAGUACCGCAAUGUAAUGAAUGAACUGCACAAAUAACUGAUGCACACAAAAGAAUAUGCACUUGCACGCUAGACGUUCGUAACAACAAAUUACUCUCAUCACCAAUUGAACAUAAUAGAUUAAACAUUAACUGAACAGAAUUCAACACGUACAUCAACACGACAAAGCAGUUUAAACAUCAACUGAACUGAACUGAACACAUACAUCAACUGAUGAUAAUUAUCGACAUCAACAGAACACAUGAACAUCAACAUCAAUAGAACUUAAUAGAGCAUAUUAAACAACAACAUCGACAAAACAUAUAAACCCAGCUUAGUAGCUCAGGCAUCAACUAAAAUUGCUGAAUUAAAACAACACAACGUAGUGUAGUUCAUAAUGCUUCGGCGCUUACACCACUGGCGGGUCGCUUACGUCGGCAUCACCGCGCUGGCUGAACCUCCGACACCCCCACCACGGCAAACGGAGGUGAUGGCGGAAGGUGAGGCAACGACAGUAGCUGGUGAGCUCCCGCUCCAAUGUCUCGCGAGUAAAGGAGGAGGAGGUGGCAUGGGAAUCGAAGAGGACACUAGUAGAGAAACGACUUUCCAUCCACCCCCUUUUGUCCCGGUUUAAAGUUGGCCCGGGACAAAAGGUUCACCAACCGGGAUUAAAACUCGGUCACUGGUGGGGGGCUCACCAACCGGGACCUUUUAUCCCGGUUGCAAAGGCUAGUGGGAAAAAAUUACUCUGAGAGGCCUUUUAUCCCGGUUUGAAACACCAACCGGGAUAAAAGACCCCCCCUUUUAUCCCGGUUGGUAACACCAACCGAGAUAAAAGGGUCAAGAGCCUUUUAUCCCGGUUGGAAACACCAACCGGGAUAAAAGGGGGUCUUUUAUCCCGGUUGGUGUUUCCAACCGGGAUAAAAGGGUCCCCCACGAGUUAAUACAAAAGGAUAGUAUCCCCUACAUAGUCAGAUGUGGUGUGUAGGUGGGAUGGUAAGGAAGCUACGCGCGAGGCUGGAGGUUGUGGGUUCGAAUCCCACGAACCGCGCACGCGCAUAUUUCGCGUGAAAAAUCGCGUGACUUGCGACUUGCGCGUGUGGGGGGGCCUCCUGGGAGCUCGGGAAUUUUUUUUUUUUGCAGCGCCGGCCGUGGGUGAACCCUUUUAUCCCGGUUGGUAUUACCAACCGGGAUAAAAGGGGGUCUUUUGUCCCGGUUGAGUGACCCGGGAUAAAAGACCCCCCCUUUUGUCCCGGUUGGUUUAUCCCGGAUGCAUUUUCGAGAUCUUUGCACCCUACCAACCGGGAUAAUAGGUGAGUUCUCCACCAGUGGGAGGCCGCCGCUGGCGGGUUUAGACUACGUGGAUGUGUGGGUAGGGUUAAGGUGACGGUGUGGACUAGUAUAUAUAAGAUGUCUGGGCUUGUUAGAAUAAGAUAACAUUCUAACCGGCCAAAUUCGGACCCGGUUAGAUUAAAUUGAUAUUCUAACCGGUCCUAUUUCUAGGUGGUAAGAAUAAGUUAACAUUGUAAUUGGCUUUAUUUGGAACCCGAUUGAAUCUUCUUGUUAUUCAAAAAAACAUCAAGUUCAUCAAUUUUAAUCCAGGAAAACAUCAAGAUAAUUUAAGCACGAUAUAUAACAAGAUUAAUACAUUUAAAAAUUGUUUGAUUCACAAAUUAACGAUAUUUAACAAAUUCAAAAAAUCCAAAUUAACAGAACACAAUAACCAAUUGUUCGAAAAAAUCAAAAUAAUCCACACACAUUAAUAUAUUACAAAUUCAGAAAUAUAUCAAAAUAAUCCCCGAUCCACUCGAUACCGUCAUAGGACUUUUAAAUACUGAGCUUCUUGAUUCGUCUGAGGUCCACCUACUCGUCUCAGUAACACUAGUGAUGGCCAUGCAUCUUGUAGAUGUCUUCUAACGAAUCAAGCUUGACGUACAAGGUCAUGCCUUCCGCUCCUUGAGGAUAACCAUCUUUGGUGAUCUUGAAAUGGCAGACGGUGGAUGUGCCAAAGGUACGUGACGAUCCUUCUAAAUGUAUGCCACCACAACUUCCGUCUGAUCGCCAUGGGUGACACCAAGAAGAGCUACCAUGCGGCAAGGGACGAACAAUUUAUCAAUUAGUGCCGCUGUCCAUCGCCAUCAUCUAAUCCAGCCAUAUCUUGUUGUAUAUUUAAGUAUAGAAAUUAAGAUUUAAAAAUAAACAGAAUAAAUUGAGAUCGAUUAUGUAUGUAUAUCAGAACAUUAGCUUUUGGAAAAAGGGCUUCGAUGGAAGAGAGGCACGGGGCAUAGAGACAACAACGAGUGACAAUAUGUCAGAAGAAUACCCGAUCACAAUUAUUGGCACACACAGCCGAUAUUUACAGUAGUCAAUACCCCUGGUAAAUAACCACACCAUCAAGAGUAAAUAGUGACAAUAUGCAGUAUAUACACGACAUAGCCUUGGCUGCCGUGGAAGCACCAGAAGGGAGACAAAUAACAGGGACCACUACAUCAAGUAGAUAGUGACAAUAUGCAAAAGAAUACCCGCGCCUGUUAGCAUGUGUGAACUGACCACACCACGAAACGUGAUACACGGCAAGCGUACCAAGGCCUUGCUGUGCAGACUAUGCAUGGACAACACAUGGUACCUGACCGCUUUUGGCCUCAGACACAUCAAAAACUGCAUCGUUCCACGUUGUACAUCCAUUGCUAGUUUAUCUAUAUUACAUAAUAUAUUAUUAGCUAUUUGAAUAGAAUGAACCAAUUAAAAAAUUACGUUGUAUUUUAGUACCGGCUGCAGGAUGGUGUUACCAACCAGUACUAAUUGGCCUGUAGGAGUGAUGGUUAUUAGACUUGGUACUGUUGUUAGCAUCAUUAACCUAAUUGUGCGCCGUAUGAAUUUGGGGAUGCAAAGCUAGCUCUCUAUGAAUGUGAGGGAUGGAAAGCUAGUUCUCUAGUAGUAAUUAUAUAUAUGACAGUCAGGAAAUCGAACACUAUGCUGCUACGAGUCACCAUCAUUUCCUUCAUUGACAAUCUGACAUAGGUGAAGCUGCUUCAAUAAUUUCCUUCGCGCAGUCGUGGAGCUUAUUGGAUUAUCACCAGGACGGGACACGGAAAUGGCCAGCAAUGAAGCUGAUUGCCGUCUGAGGAAGACUACAUACUUACCUAUGAAAUGAAGCGAUUGCAUAGACUAAUGAAGCAUUGCAUAUUUGCAUGUGAGUGUGGCAGAUAAUUCUGCAGGACAUGAUUGCAAUCCACGCACCAUCGAGAAGACUGGGGCGAUGGGGUUGCCUCAUCAAUAAUCACGUGGAUGCAUGCAUGCAUGUUCCCUCAACCGGACAAGGGUCUGAUAUAUGGCUAUAGUAUUACUGAGCCCACAUCAAUAAUUUCCGCUGGUGUAUCGUGUGGGAAGAAUCAACAUACUACACCUCUGAGUUCUUGGAACUAACUGACGUUCACAUGCAACCUCCACAAGGUGCUGUAUGCUUUUGACAUUCACCUGCCAGUUCGUGUAGAGGACACCCUAACGUAUGGUUAAUAUUAUCCAUUUCAUGAGUAAAAUACUGUGAUUCAAAAAUACUUCAAAUCCCUUGAGACAAUACUUCUCACUUGACUAACCACUAACCAACCCCGAAACCCUAACUCAACUCCGAACCCUAACCCCUAACGGCAUAACCACUCCGUUUUGCCGGCGAGAUGGAGGAACUGGCUGGAAGGUAGAGAGGGCAGCGGUCCAGGGUUGAAAACGACGGGCGAGCGCAGUAACAUGUGGAGGAGGAAGUGCCACGUAUUCGUUCACCGCUAUUGGGCAGCGACACACGACACGCCCAAUAAGAUCUUCGCACGGUAGAAGGACGUCAUGUAUUCAAUAAUGUUAUUGGUCCCCCAUGUGCAGAAGGGCGCGCGCGUAUGGAAUAACAAGUAGGGACACUGCAACUAAUCUACUCUGCUCGUCCAGUCCCUAGCCUAUAAAUAGAUGCCAUGCUAGCUCUUGUUGUGCUCACAAUUAAUCCGAUUACACACGAGCUUCUCUCCCUGGCCAAGACACAACCAUAGUAUGAUGAAGAACAUGGCACUAGCCGGCAAUGGUAUGAAGAAGUUAAUCCUCGCUGUUCUCUUACUGUGUCUAGUUAUAGGGCAGAUACAAGUGGAAGCUAAGAGCUGCUGCCCAUCCACCACUGCAAGAAAUGUCUACAAUACCUGCCGUUUCACGGGUACAUCCCGUCCAACGUGUGCAAAACUGUCAGGCUGCAAAAUUAUCAGCGGGAACAAAUGCAAGCCCCCUAACGACCACCUCACCCUUGACCCGGACACUGGUAAAUAAUAAAUUUAUCUCACUUGAUUUCUUCGUGAUUUGAGUCGUUAAUGUAUUUUCCAUCUGAUGAAACGUAUUGGUUUUGCAUUGAAGAGGAAGUUAAUGUGCUUAACUUCUGCAAGUUGGGGUGUGCGUCGUCUGUGUGCAACAACAUCAACGCUGGUAAGCAACUUUUGCUCAGACAGAGAAAACAAUAAUCAUUAAUUAGCGGCAGCUAGAAUCCUAUAAUCUAAUAUAUAUAUAUAUAUAUAAUUUUAUCAGCUCUGGGAAAUGAAGAGGCGAACGAUGCCGUUGAGAGUUGCGACCAAGCCUGCUCUAGCUUCUGCAGCGUGCAUGUUGGCAGCGCCACCGUGGUUGCUUAAGCAAAUGCAUCCAACUAGAUCGUCCUUGUGCUGAAUAAUUGGAUAUCGUAUCCACUUAAAGCUGCCUUGUGUAGUACGUCUUUGUGUCUCUCUUUAUAUUCCAAUAAGGUCGGUGAUCUUGAUGCCACACACUCAGAUGUGUGUUCAUCUCCAGAUACUACUCCAUGCUACCUGCCCUUUGUGUUUUGUUCAAUAACUGGGUAUCAUAUCCCAGCCAGUAUGCCGUCUGUUUUGUGUUUGUUUCCUUCUAGUUCCAAAGGGGUCAUCAUGAUGUUACCUUCUUUCAAUAUGGUGCUUUGCAUGACUACUGUUGUAUGGUACCAUCUUGUGGCCAAUAAGUACAUCUUAUCCUAUGACCUUUGCUAUGACCCUUUGCAAAUAAGUAGAAGAUUGUUAUAAGCGUCAAUACUCCGUAUAAAUUGAUCGCUGCUGUGAGUUCCCUUUCAGCUUAUCGUAGGCAUACAUUAUUGCUAGCACGGUAAAGCCAACCAACACGAAUGAUGAAGUAAACGUAGCGGUACUUCUGUAUACCAACACCCUUACUUAAAUGUACCGGUGUCAUUCCCUACUGGCACAUAUAUUCUUAUAUGCUAGCCAGCUUGUAAAAUUAACCAAUUAAAAUAAUUAUUUCAAGAUAGAAAUAACUUAUCGGUUUCUGGAAGCAUGUGUAAUGUGAAUUCAAGGACUCGACGGAAGUUGAAUCACUUCAUCUAUAUUGCUUUCAGUAUUUUGGGUAACUAAAUUUAACAUUUGCACAUACAAAUGUUAAAGUACAAAUGUUAAAUCUAGUUACCCAAGCAGAAUAUGAAGAUAGUUUAUAGUAUAUAUAUACUAUAUAAAUCUAGUUAACAUUUAGUCUAAAUGUUAAAUCUAGUUACCUAAAAUCCUGAAAGCAAAAUGUAUAAAUAUAUAUCUUUUAAGGCAGUAUAAGCUUCGAUUCCUAUUGCUGCUCUGUUAAAUCUCAUCUUUCGUUGUGGCCCAACACUCUAGUAUGCAUGUUGCACCAAGCUUCUUUGAGCCGCUCUGCCCUCUGAUUUUGCUGCGUAGGGGAAUCUUUAUCAGGUUGGGCUACUUCCAGUUGUGCGAUGUAAAGAUUCGUAUUUUCUAGAAGGUAGACAAAAAACUCGCGUUCUCUUAAGGCAACAACCGGAAGAUUCUGCAGCGCACAGGGCAUACCAUUAUUGUAGAAACGACCUUUAGUACCGAUCUCCAACCCCCUUUAAAACUGGUUUUGCAACCGGUACCGUUAUGUCGGUCCUUUAGUACCAGAUCAAAUAAGUACCGGUUGGUAACCAGUAUCAACUUGUUUUGCGGCCAAAAAAAUAAAGAAAAAAACAGUCAG
This 62914-nucleotide long non-coding RNA is filed under the name Setaria viridis. Its description in RNAcentral is "long non-coding RNA (SVIR_LNC007217)". Lineage: Eukaryota; Viridiplantae; Streptophyta; Magnoliopsida; Poales; Poaceae. The record is from RNAcentral.